This 64108-nucleotide long non-coding RNA is filed under the name Triticum aestivum (bread wheat). RNAcentral's name for it is "long non-coding RNA (TAES_LNC008440)". The record is from RNAcentral. Lineage: Eukaryota; Viridiplantae; Streptophyta; Magnoliopsida; Poales; Poaceae.
UCUCCACGGUCUGUCGGUCGGUCGCCAUUUUUGUAACGUGAUGCGCGACCGACCGGCGUAGCUGAGGUAGUUGGAUUAAGUCGGUGUUAGGCCUGAAGUUUAGCUGCUGGGACGACCUAGGCAACACCAUCUCAGUGUUGCUGUUGCCCUAACUUGUUAGCUAUAGCUAGUAAGUAACCCCAGUUCAGUAGUAGUAGCAGUAGAAGCAAUAAUAGCACUAGUAGUAUUAGUAGAAUUGUACUACUAAGUUGGAACCCUGGAUCUGGCAUUAUCUUGAACCCUUGUAGCCAUGCUGCCUGCCUUGCCCCAUUUCAAUCAUGCCAUGAUCCUCUAUCUCUAUGCCUAUGCCACGAUCUGUCUCCUGAUUGGGUCAAUGCAAGAAUCCUAUGCCUCCUACGAACAUAGGUAGCAAGUUUAAAAAUGCUGAAAUGGAAGCUUUCAUGUUAUUCCGACUUGAAAAUUCAUGCGUGGAUGGGUAGAUGCCAUGUGAUGUACCUAACCUAGCCCUGUGUGCUGUUUGCGUAGCUUGAUUCCAAGCUGAAUUUAAACCAUGGCUUGUCCUUAAACAAGCGAGGAUCUCAGCCGGGGCAAGCUGCCAAACGGGGCGGCGUGGCCAUGUGGUGACGACGAGCAAACGAAAACAAGAACCUGGGGGUUUGGCACGGGCCCGAAUCUCCCCAUGUGCCCAGCUGCCUUUGAUAGGAGACGGGAGAGGAGAGAACGAUGGCGUGGAUCUCGGGAGCACGGCGCACGGGGCAUGUCUUGGCGCCAUGCGGGCGUCGCAGAGGCAACGGUACCGUGUAGAUGGAGAUGGAGAACAGUCUCCUUGUCGAUCCAUUGCAUCCGUCUUGGGGGAUUACAGCCGGUGGCGUAUGCUCUUGAGUCUUUGCCAAGCAAACACCCUUUGCCUUGCAUUGGUAACCUGCAAGUACUGGCUAGUGAACUAACUAUACACAACAAUCAAAAUGUGCUUUUAUUUAUCAUAUCAGGGCCUCUCGUUUCUUGAGAGGAGUUUUGGAAUACAUUAUGUUCAUCUUUCCCCUUGAUUCUUUCUUGAGGGUUUAUGGGCAUAGAACUACAGUAGGCAUCAUGAGUUUCGAGUGUGGUGAGCCAUUCCGACGGUCGCUUUUUUUUCUUCAGAAAAAGAAGUGUGGGAUGCAAUCUCUUAGAUGGAGGAGCAUAAUAAGGCACUGUGGCUAGAUGUGUUUUGGGCUGAGUUCUAUCAGAAAUUAUGUAUGUUAGUAGAGUUAUACAAUGAAAAUUUACCGGAAGCGAAUUUUUGGCUCUCGGGUGCCGGCGUACCCUAUAUGCGCACAUUCUUUUAAUAAUUCUACAAAAAGUCAAAAAAAAUCUGAAUCUUUUUCCGAAUCAAAUAUAAUCAAGUAUUCUACUCAUAUAAAAAGUUUGGCCAAGGAAUGAUUCUCGUGACUUCAGGGCAAGCAAAAAAAAUGACUAUAUAGCCUUUUUUUUGGUAAAAUCUUUGACUCGGGAUACAACGAAACUCAUCCCCUGGCGAAUCCUUUUAUACGAGUACAAUACUUGAUCAUGUUUGAUUCCAAAAAACUUUGAUUUUUUUAUUUUUUGUAUUUACUAAAUUAAUUUUUGCAUAUAGGGUGCGCUUGCACCCGAGAGCACCAGUGUGUUUCCUGAAUUUACCCUUGUAUAAGCUAAACUUCGGCAUUAUCACCCUUCUUCCUAAAACAGAAGUCUAGUUAGAUACAUUAGUCUCAUCCAAUUUGUUUAUUCAAUGUUAGCUUUAAGAUUUUCAUCACACGAUUAGUUGGGACUUUGAGGGAGAAAAGUCGCAACUAUUGUUAAUACAAUUUCAAAAUUUUAGGCCCGACGAGCUGGGCUGAAGGGGCAAUCUUACUGGGCUUUAAGGGAGAAAGUGGCCAAAGUAAAAAAUAAAGAAAAAGGGGGAAAAGUGUGAGGAGAAAAUGAGGAAAGCUUAAAGAUUUUUUACAGUCCUGAUGGAGGAAAAAGAUCAGUGAUCUGACUGAACUAGAAGCCUAGAUUAAAAACACAUAAAUAAAAUUUGAGUUUUAAAAUAUGAUAAAAUCAUAUGUGGCCCAAAAAUAAUCAAAUCAACUCUAAAAGCAAUAAUAAUUUAAAGUACAUCAUGAAAUUUAACUAAUAUCAUCUUGAAAACAUUUUAAAUCCCCAAAUGCUAAGUUUUACAACAUACAAUAAAUGAUAAUUACCUUCAUAAAAUACUGUGAACACUCAGAAAAAGUGAUGAAAUUCAAUGGUGUGUAACUAAAUAUAUAUGAAAGUUUAUUUUAAUAUUUUUCGUCAUACUUCAAGCUUAAAGAGAUGCGUGUCGGACUAAUUAAAUUUUUACGGCUUUAGGGACCAAAGAUAAUACAAGAAUUAAACCAUUCAAGUUUAGUAAAGCAAAGUGCAAUACGAAAAUACCAAAUAAAUUUUAAAAUGCAACAAACCUUCAUGAGUUCAUAAUUUAAUAUGCAAGGUACAGAAACUAUCUUCCGAUAUAUCUUGAAAUGUGAAUUAAAGAUGACAUCAUAAUUUUGAUAUAACCCUGAAACAAAAAUUUAUCUAUAGUACAAACAAAACAAGCAUGUGCAACUACACGGGUGGACAAAUAGAAACUAUCUGAUGGUGUCAUGAAAAUGUGUUUACAUGCAUGCUGUAGCAAAUUGAACAUAUAAACCCUCAAAAACUGCUAGGAAGGAGAAAGCCCUCCACGUCGCCCCCUAAAUUGCUAUGAACAGUGAUGUGCCACCGCCUAUAUAAUUCUGCACCCCGCCGAGGGCAUUUUAGUCUUUUCAUGUGCAGGGGUAUAAAUCACAGCCGCUGCCGUUGAGAAACCCUUGCCGCCGCCUCCCGUCCCACUCGCCCCCCUCCUCGUCGCCCUCCUCUCUCUCUCUCUCUCUCUCUCUCUCUCUCUNNNNNNNNNNNNNNNNNNNNNNNNNNNNNNNNNNNNNNNNNNNNNNNNNNNNNNNNNNNNNNNNNNNNNNNNNNNNNNNNNNNNNNNNNNNNNNNNNNNNNNNNNNNNNNNNNNNNNNNNNNNNNNNNNNNNNNNNNNNNNNNNNNNNNNNNNNNNNNNNNNNNNNNNNNNNNNNNNNNNNNNNNNNNNNNNNNNNNNNNNNNNNNNNNNNNNNNNNNNNNNNNNNNNNNNNNNNNNNNNNNNNNNNNNNNNNNNNNNNNNNNNNNNNNNNNNNNNNNNNNNNNNNNNNNNNNNNNNNNNNNNNNNNNNNNNNNNNNNNNNNNNNNNNNNNNNNNNNNNNNNNNNNNNNNNNNNNNNNNNNNNNNNNNNNNNNNNNNNNNNNNNNNNNNNNNNNNNNNNNNNNNNNNNNNNNNNNNNNNNNNNNNNNNNNNNNNNNNNNNNNNNNNNNNACCCACGCCGGCCGGUUCCGGCAAGCUCCGGCCGCCACACGCCCCCGAGUUCCCCAAGAUCCGCGCGUCCAACCCUCCGUACAGAUCCGGUGCUCAAAGUCUCCACCCUCCCCCGCGGCUAGGAUUGGCGCCUCCCCAAAACUUUGCCGGGAUCCGCCACAACCGGCAACAGCGAGGCCAAAGGUGACCGGGUGCGGCACAGGUUGGUCUCUCCCCUCCUUCUUCGCCCACCCUCUCCUCCUCACCUCACACCAUCUUGUCUUCCCUUUUUUGCAGGUUGCCACGGCACGGACGACGAUGACGAGAGGAGGGGCGCGCACAUCCAUGCGACGGGCCGCCGCCAUGGAGAUGGAGCUCCUUCUCCACACCACGCAGAGGCCCCAUGAGCUCCCUCCUUCUCCGAUGACUCUUCUCAGGCCCGACCCCCUACCUCUCCCCCUCCCUCUCCUAUACUUUGAGCUGUACCAGCUCUGUUUCAGAUUCUGAAGGCCUCUCUACUUGAAUCUGAAACAUGGUUAAUCCCUUCAGGGUAUAUAUGGCAAGUUAGGUGGUUGCUGCAGUCUGAGGUUAAUCCCUUUAUUGGCUGUUGUUUAGGGUUGAUUAGAUUAUCCUUCUCCAAGGAAAUAUGUUAUAUAUUUUUUGACAGCUACGGAUAUGCUUUUCUAAUUGUAGUGUGACAGCUUUAACUGAAGUCUGUUUAGUUCACUCAGCCUUCUAUUCAUUGAUUUUGUAUAUGGUUCUUGAAAGUAGAGCCUGCUAAGCAUUUGAGAGUGUUCCAGUUUGCUUAAUCAUUGCGACUAUGUGCUCUGGGUUAAAAUUCUAAAUUUUCUCUUUGUAGGAGCUUCAGAAGGGUUGCUCACCAACGAACUAGAAGAUUGUUUUGUCCUGGGCACUGAGAUGAUUAAGGAAGAAAUUGCUUAUUCUUGGAUGUGCUAUGCAGAUCAAAGGUGAGAUCAUCCUAUUUUCUUUCUUCAAUCUUAGCCGAAGAUUUAUCUCCGGUUUCCUUGCAUUUGUCAUGCUGGUUCUUUGUGUAGAUGUGCCAGCUAGCUUAGAAUCUGUAUCAUCAUCUUUGUCUUUGAGUAGAACUGAACUGGGAUUUUCCUUUUGCAUCUUAACUGUGUGUCCUUUGGUGUGCUUUACUCUAUAGAGUUAUUACCCUGAACUGAUGAAAGGACUUCUAGAGAAAAUUAUUGAUUGCUAGGGCCUCGAUUUAUUAACUAUUCUAUAUUACAAACUGAAAGCCAAAUCAUUCCUCUUUGGGAUGAAACAGAUCAUAUAUGUGGCGUCGAAAAAGACCGCAGUCUGAUCAUACAAGACCUUAUUGAUUGUUUAUCCUACUUGCAUGGUCUGAUCUAUCCGAGGUGCAACCAAGAUCAGGAGAGAACAAUGUUUCGGUUGUUUCGACUACUUCCUUUCCAGUGCUUAUUAUUUUCCAUUGCAUGAUCUGCAGUUUAAGGUAUACAAAUAGUCAUCCAUGGUCCAGGUGAGGUGCUUCAUACUGUGAAGCAUAAUUGAGGUGCUUCUUUAUUGGUUAGCUCAUGCCUGCACUUUGGUGCUUGGAUUGUGAUCCUUUGUUCUAUGCAGAAAUCUCGAGGUAAGCGUCCGUUCCAGGCUUAGGCUUGAAAAUGCGUUAUAUCGACUAGAGGGGGGGGUGAAUAGGCGAUUUUUACAAAUUCGUCACUACGGAAUUUCAGGAUGAGGAAAUUCCUAAGUCACGAACAACUAGCAGCGGAAUAAGUACUCAGGUGCAUGCAUAACAGAACAGAAGCACGGUUAUCAUGAUGAAAUGAAAACAAACAAUGAGUAUAGGAAGCGUAAACACAGGAUAAGCAGGCUGAAGACAAACUGACUGAAGAAAUUGAACUGAGGAAAUUGAGAAAGUCUUCAGUCAAAGUCUUCAAACAGUAUCGAUCAGGUACAACAACACAGUAAUGAGGAAAUGAAAGGGUUGAGGAAAUAGAACCAGUUAGCUUGGUGAAGACAGUGAUUUGGUAGACCAGUUCCAACUGCUGUAACAGUCGUGCGUCUAGUUGGAGCGGCUAGGUAUUUAAACCCGAGGACACACAGUCCUCACCGUAUUCUCCUUGAACUAAGGUCACACAGACCUCGCCCAAUCACUUGUGGUAAGUCUUCAGGUGAAUUCCAAACCUUCACAGACUCGGUCACUCGGCGAUCCACAAUUUCCUCUUGGAUGCUCUAGACCAUGACGCCUAACCGUCUGGAAGAUGCACAGUCUUCAAAGGUAACAAGCAUCGGUUCCACAAAGGAACAAUCUCUUUAGUGAUGCUCAAUCACUUUGGGUUUGUAGGUGUUUGGGUUUGGGUUUUCCUCACUUGAUGAUUUUCGCUCAAAGUCCUCGGAGGAUGGGAUGCUCUCAAUGACAAGUGUCAGUUUCUCUCGGAGCAGCCAACCAGCUAGUGGUUGUAGGGGGCGGCUAUUUAUAGCCUAGGGAGCAGCCCGACAUGAUAAGACAUAAAUGCCCUUCAAUGAUAUGACCGUUAGGUGGAUAAGAUAUUUUGGGACAGCUGGCGCAUAGCACAACAACGGUCGGAAAUUUGAGGUUCAAAUUCCUCAGGGCUAUCAUGUUCCUCACUUGUAGGCAAUCCGCACUGGCGAAUUCCUAACUCCUCAGUCAUAAUAAAUUCCUUAGAUACCAGAAGAACUUCGUCUCUGUCACUAAAGAAAUUGACUGAACUAUAUGAGAUUUCCAAUGGCUUCACUCGAAGGGAUUGGUAGGUGUAGGAUUUUGAGUUGAGCAUCACUUGGAAACUUUUCCUUAGUUUUACCUCGACCCCCUUUAAUAGUACGGUGUUUCCUAUGACUCAAGAAAGAGAAAAUAAAACUACGAAAACAAAAGUCUUCACGCUUCAUGUUCCUCACAUGAAUAUCAAGUUUUCAUGGUCACACCAAUUUCUUCACUUUCAAAGUCUUCAGAAAGCCAAAGUCUUCAGUUGAAGACAUUCAUUUUUAGGGGUCGACUUUCUCUGUAAAUAUCAAACUCCUCAUAGACUUAUAGACCCGUGUACACUCACAAAUGCAUGUAGCGAUCCAACCUCAAACGGUCAAAUCUCUGUGCAUAAGUGUCAUCCCUGGAUCGGUAAUGCUGACACACACAGUACUUGAAGGAUUUAUAACAGAGUGCAAUCACACACUUAUUACAUCGAAUGUCUCAGGAGAGAACUUAUUACAAUAAUAUGGCUUAAGGCCAUCUAAAUAAGAUAACUGCGGAAGCAUCGAAGGUAAAUGAGUCCAUCAACUCCAACGGCAUAGCUGAGUGCACGACAACGACCUAGCGCACCUUACUCUUCAUCUGAAAAGUCUGCAACAUAAUACGUUGCGGCCCGAAACGGGUCAGCACAUGGAAUAUGCUGACAAAAUAACACUAGAGAGCAAUGAACAAGAUAAAUGCUAACACUACAUGCAUAUAUGGCUGGUGGAGGCUCUAUGGUUAUCAUGUUUUUGUGAAAAGCCAAUUUUUCCCUACUGCAAAGGAAUAUAAUUUAUUUAACUACAAAGUUGGUUGAUAAACAUUGAGAAUGGAAACCCCAUCUCAAUCCCAAUUAAAUAGUAAUUAACAAGCCAACAAAAUUAAUUAAGAGUGUUGAGAUUAAAUCAAUAAUUCAAGAACCAGAUACUGAAGAUGUCCAUAACCGGGGACACGGCUAACCAUGAUUAGUUUGUACACUCUGUAGAGGUUUGCGCACUUUUCCCCACAAGACUCGAUCUCCUCCGUUGUAUUUCUCACACUGCAUGAUGUUUGAGAAACGGAUGACCGAUGCACAGUUUUUCCGAAGAGGCCCCCUUAACCGAUAGAUAGGCUGGUACACCUACAAUCCCCUACAUCUGCUAGCCCAUCAUGGAAAGGAUUCCCACAACUUACUCAACUAUGCCAGAGCCCAUAAUGGCUUGUGGCUGCACACGUAAGUUUUCAGCAUGAAUUAUCUUAUGAUCCCUUUGAGCCUGGGUGGCGAACCAUAGGAUGAUGACACGGAUUCCCCGGGAUCUCCUUGGACAACACUGGAUUCCCCAGGUGCCCACAAACAAUCCACCCAGAUGUGUGUUAAAGUAGCCACCUUAAAGAAACCCUUAGUUCAUAGUAAUACUCACAACUGUCAUGAAUCACUCAAACCAAUCCACGUCUACAAGCAUAGCAUAGCAGUAUAAGCAUAACGUAGUAACUCCCUAGGGUUUAAAGAAAAGACAAUAGGUUCUACCUCAUCAACUACUUCCCAAUACCUCAUCAACUACCUCAUCAACUACCUCAUCAACUACAAGCAUAGCAUAGCAGUAUAAGCAUAACGUAGUAACUCCCUAGGGUUUAACAGAGACGAACAAACGAACGCGUUCGCGAACAGUUGCGUUCGGGCGAACGUCCGCUACUUAGCAAAACCGAACAAGAAAAACCGAUCUAACCGAUCCAACGAAAACCAGAAAAAACCGGGCGACGGCGGCGGUUUUUACCGGUUCUUCAAAAAAGACCGGCGGCGACGAGAUCAAGCGGCGGCGCGGCAACGUCGAGGUGGCGGGGCGUCGCGAGCGGCGGCGUCGGCACGGUGCGGCAGCAAGCGGCGGCGGACGGCGCGAGCGGCGGCGGCGGCUGUAGUGCGGCUCGGGUGGGGAGAGGCGGCGGGGUAUAAAAAGGCCGGGGGGCUUGCCUUGGGGAGGGGGCGGCGGCACCUCGUGUCCGAGCCGGACAUGGCGCGGCGGCAGCGGUCCUCGGGACUCCCGUCCCGAGUCGGCGAGGGAGGCGGCGCGGCUGGGCCUUUGGCCCAGUCGGGCGGGAAAGUUCUUUUUAAAUAAAUUCCGCCGAAAAACAAAAAUCCAAAUAAAAUAUAAAAAGAAUUCUAAAAAUGCCAAAAACAAUUUUCACCAUCUAAAUAAAAUAUUUAGAAUAACGUGAACAUUUUUCUGGCCUAAAAAUGCAAUUUUGGAAAAUGCAUAUUUUUCUAAUUCAAAUAAAAUAGCAAUAAAAUUCCAAAUAAAAUAUAUUUAUUUGAUUUUAACAUUUUUCCUCCAAUUUUCCACUCUUAUUUUGGAGAAGUCAUUUUAUCUCCACUCAUUUAUUUUAAUAAUGGAAAUAUUUUGGAGGGAAAAUAUAUUAAAACCAAAAUGAUCCUCUUUUCAGAUUUGAGAAAAUUCAAAUAUGAAAAUAAAUGAAAUCCCCAACUCUCUCCGUGGGUCCUUGAGUUGCUUAGGAUUUCUAGGAUCACAAACAUAAUGCAAAUAAAAUAUGAUAUGCAUAGGAUGACCUAUGGAUAACAUCCAAAUUGAAAAUUUGGGAUGUUAUAAACCUACCCCCCUUAAGAUGAAUCUCGUCCUUGAGAUUCGGGUUGGCUAGAAAAUAGGUGCGGGUGGUCUUUCCGCAGGUCUUCCUCUCGUUCCCAGGUGGCUUCAUCCUCGGUAUGGUGGCUCCACUGAACUUUGCAAAACUUGAUAACCUUGCUGCGUGUAACUCGGCUGGCAAACUCGAGAAUCUUGACGGGUUUCUCCUCGUAGGUCAGAUCACUAUCCAACUGAAUUGCUUCCAGGGGAACUGUAUCUCUCAGAGGAAUAUCAACCAUCUCUGCAUGGCACUUCUUCAACUGAGAAACGUGAAACACAUCAUGAACUCCGGACAAUCCUUCGGGUAACUCCAAUUUGUAGGCCACUUCUCCCAUACGUUCCAAAACACGGUAUGGUCCUACAAAUCUCGGGGCUAACUUUCCCUUAACUCCAAAUCGUUUAACUCCUCGCAGAGGUGACACACGAAGAUAUGCUCUGUCUCCGAUCUCAUAGACUACCUCCUUGCGUUUGGAGUCUGCAUAACUCUUCUGCCUGGACUGAGCUACCUUUAGUCUAUCGCGAAUCAACUUAACCUUCUCUUCGGACUCCUUGAUCAGAUCCGGUCCAAACAACUGACGGUCUCCAACUUCAUCCCACAUCAACGGUGUCCUGCACCUUCUCCCAUACAAAGCUUAGAAAGGUGCCAUCUUCAAACUAGCUUGAUAACUGUUGUUGUACGAGAACUCCGCGUAAGGUAAAUUAUCAUCCCAACUAGAUCCAUAAUCUAGCGCACAAGCUCUCAACAUGUCCUCCAGAAUCUGAUUGACUCUCUCGGUCUGUCCAUCUGUUUGCGGAUGAAAGGCUGUACUAAACUCUAGCCUGGUACCCAAAGUCUGGUGCAACAGAUGCCAAAACUUCGAGGUAAACUGUGUUCCUCUAUCUGAUACGAUGGUCCUCGAAACUCCAUGCAGACACACGAUCCUGGUCAUAUAUAUAUCUUGGCCAACUUUGCACUCGUAUAGGUGGUUUUCACUGGGAUAAAGUGAGCCACUUUGAUCAAACAAUCCACUACUACCCAGAUGGAAUCAUAUCCCGAUCGGGUCCUGGGUAAUCCGGUGAUGAAAUCCAUGCCAAGCUUGUCCCACUUCCAUUCGGGUAUCGGCAUAGGCUGCAAUAAUCCUGCUGGCUUCUGAUGUUCUGCCUUCACUCUCUGACAUACAUCACACACGGCUACAUACUCGGCAAUAUCCUUCUUCAUACCAGUCCACCAGAAACGCUCCUUCAAAUCCAAAUACAUCUUGGUGUUUCCGGGGUGUAUCGAGUAUGGCGAGUCAUGAGCUUCCUGAAGUAUUAACUUCCUGAUCUCUGCAUUAUUGGGCACAUAUACACGAUCCUCAACCAUAAGGUUUCGUGCUCAUCCUCACGAAAACCCUUGGCUUUUCCUUUGCUCAUCUUCUCCUUUAUCUGAGCAAUUUCCUUGUCAUCCUUUUGAGCUUCUUGAAUCUUUCCCAAUAAUGUUGACUGAACCUCCAUUGAUGCGACAAAACCUCUUGGAACUAUCUCCAAACGAAGUUCCUUGAGAUCGUCAACUAACUCCUGCAGUAAUCCGCCGCUUACGAGGGUAUUGACAUAACUCUUCCGGCUCAAAGCUUCUGCUACGACAUUGGCCUUUCCUGGAUGAUAAUGCAGCUUCAUAUCAUAAUCCUUUAUAAGCUCCAACCAUCUCCUCUGUUUGAGAUUUAGCUCCUUCUGAGUGAAAAUGUACUUCAAACUCUUAUGAUCAGUGUACACAUCGCAGCGGUUUCCAAUAAGAAAAUGUCUCCAGGUCUUGAGCGCAUGCACUACGGCUGCUAACUCCAAAUCAUGGGUGGCAUAAUUCAAAUCAUGUGGUCGAAGCUGUCGUGAGGCAUAUGAAACAACUCUUCCGUCCUGCAUAAGUACUCCUCCAAGUCCUAAGCGAGAAGCGUCGCAAUACACUUGGAAAUCCUUGCGUAUAUCCGGCAGAAUUAGCACUUUCUUCAACUCCUGGAAACUGGCCUCACAUCCAUCCGUCCAUUUAAACUUAGUGUCCUUCUACAACAAAUCCAUCAUGGGCUUCACAAUCUUGGAAAAAAUUCUCAAUGAAUCUCCGAUAAUAUCCCACGAGUCCUAGAAAACUAUGGAUCUCUCCUACUGAGGUGGCAACCAAUCAGUGACUGACUGAACCUUGGUAGGGUCUACUGCUAUACCUUCACCCGAUAUAACAUGUCCAAGGAAUCCAACUUCCUUCAACCAAAACUCGCCUUUGCUGAACUUGGCAUAUAGCUGAUGUUCCCUGAGCUUCUCAAGAACUAAACGCAAAUGCUGCUUGUGCUCCUCUUCAUUCUUCGAGUAUACCAAAAUAUCAUCAAUGAACACCACAACAAACUUAUCCAAGAACUCCCUGAACACCUUAUUCAUCAUACUCAUGAAAUAGGCAGUGGCAUUUGUCAAUCCAAAUGACACAACCAUGUACUCAUAUAGCCCGUACCUUGUGGUGAAAGCUGUCUUAGGUAUAUCCUGUUCUCGGAUCUUCAGCUGGUGGUAUCCUGAUCGCAGAUCAAUCUUGGAAAAUACUUUAGCUCCUUGCAGCUGGUCAAACAAAUCGUUGAUCAUCAGUAGUGGGUACUUGUUCUUGAUCGUCACUUCAUUCAAUGCACGAUAAUCAACAACCAUUCUCAAAGAUCCAUCCUUCUUCUCAACUAAGAGCACUGGGGCUCCCCAUGGUGACGAACUUCAUCGAAUGUAACCUUUCUCCAAUAACUCCUUAAUAUGCUUCUUAAUUUCCUCCAGAUCAUUUGCGGGCAUCCAGUAUGGUCUGUUUGAUAUCGGUCCGGUGCCUGGCAACAGCUCUAUCAAAAACUCAAUGUCUCGAUCCGGCGACAUGCCUGGUAGUUCCUCUGGAAAUACAUCCGGGUAAUCCUUCACUACAGGCACUUCCUCCUAAACAACUCCUGAGAGAGAAUUUACUUGGGUCCUCCUUGGCGCAUGCCUAGACACAUACUAGAUCCUUUUUCCCUUCGGGGUGGUGAGUAAAAUUGACUUACUAGCGCAAUCGAUAUUUCCUCCAUACAUCGAUAGCCAAUCCAUGCCUAAUAUCACAUCCAAUCCUUGUGACUCCAAAAUUAUCAGGUCUGAGGGGAAAACAUGCCUACCUAUGGUCAAUGGCAUCUGAAAACAUCCACUACUUGCCAUAUACUCCGCUCCAGGUGAGCUUACUAACAUAGGUGUCUUAAGAACUUUGGUGGGCAACUUAUACUUAUCCACAAACCCCCUCGAAAUGUAUGAAUGCGAUGCACCAGUAUCAAAAAGAACGAUUGCAGUAAAUGACUUAACCAAAAACUUACAUAUAACUGCAUCUGGCUGCUCUUCAACCUCCUCCACACUAAUGUUGUUCACUUGUCCCCUAUUGAAAGGGUUGGGCUUCUUCCCAGAGCUUCCAUUUCCGUUGCCAUUCUUCAACUCAGAACAGUCAUUGGCAUAGUGCCCAGUCUUCCCGCACUUGUAACAGGUGACAUGACUCAGAUCCUUUUUAGCGGGUGUUGCUGGGUUGGAACGGUUCUGGUUGCUGCUUGCUCCAUUCCCAUUUCCAUUCUUGGGGCCAUUGUGAUUAUGCAAACUUCCUCCAUUGUGGGUGUGGCCUCCAUGGUUAUGGGUAUAUCCUCCCGAGUUCGGGGUAAAAUGAGGCUUCUGCGACGCUCCAGAAUUAUACUUCCCUUGUCCAUAUUUCCUUUUGCAGCUCUCUAUCUGCUGCUGCUUCCCUUCAAUCAUAAGAGCCCUGUCUACCAACUCCCGGUAGUUAGCAAAUGUAGCCACCAUCAACUGCAUACUCAGCUCAUCAUUCAGCCCUUCCAUAAACUCCUCCUGCUUCGCGGCAUCUGUGGCCACAUCAUCUGGGGCAUAGCGAGCUAACUUACUGAACUCAUCCACGUACCGCCCCACAGUACGGUUUCCCUGGCGUAAGUUGCGAAACUCACGCUUCUUCAUGCUCAUAGCUCCAGUUGAGACAUGUGCGGUGCGGAACGCCUGCUGAAAUUGAUCCUAAGUAACAUUGGCUAUGGGGAACGUGGUUGUGUAAUUCUCCCACCAUGAGGUUGUGGGUCCAUCCAGUUGGUGUGCGGUAAAGUGCACCUUCUCAGCAUCUGUGCAACUUGCGGUGGUCAACUCCCUUCCAAUCCUGCGUAGCCAGUCAUCAGCAACGACCGGCUCGGUACUACUGGAAAACACCGGCGGAUUCAACCUCAGAAAAUGGGCUAAGUUGUCAACUCGAGGUGGUGGCGGUGGGUUGUUGUUGUUGUUGUUGUUGUUUUUUUUUUGUUGUUGUUGUUGUUGCCUUGAUUCUGGACUAGCAACUGCAUCAAGGCAUUCUGCUGUUGGAUCAACUGAGUGAGAUCCGAUGGGAAAACAAAUCCGGGGUCACGUCUCGGAGGCAUCUGAUGGGUUUAGAGGGGAGAGAUUAGAAUAGAAUGAGGUCUAAAGAGAAAGCACUACCCAUAUGCACAUGAGACAAACACACUCAUAUCACACCACUCAAUUCAAACAAGGGCAUACAAUCGGUCUAAACUGUCGUUACGAAAUACUCGGACUACUACUAUAUACAUGGGGGAAUACUACUGAUAAUAUGGUGGUCGACUAGAAAUUUUGAUCGGUGGAAGAUUCCAUGAUAUCCGCUCCAGCUUCGUCUUCGUAAUCAUCAUCACUACUGUCGGGGUCGGAGUCGGUGUCGUCGAUGAUGAUGUAGUCCUCGGGAUGGUCGUCAUCUCCUCCUGGCGCGGGGUCUCCCAUGAAUACUCCUAGCUUCUUCUUCAGGUCUUCAUUCUUCUCUAGUAGCACUGCGAUUUCCUCCUCAUAUGCAUCGCAUGUAGACUUGAGUUCCUCUUCAAGCUCCAUGUUCCUGGUCAUCACCCUCUUCAGAUCUAUCAUGCUUGCGCACAUUUGGUUCUCCUGGCGACGAAUGUGCUGGUUUAACUCCUGGAUGAAGGCUGCAAUGGCUCUGUCCCUCCUGGUGCUAAUCAUCUCCCAUUGCUCAUCUCGGCGCCCACAUAUCUGGUAGAUGGUGUCCUUAAGAUCCUUGUUGUAGACUUCGCCGAUGCGUCCCAUGGCGAUGUGGGCUGCCAUGCUCUUUCCUAGACUCCAGGUUGGUGCAUCAAAGGAAAACUCUAUGGGCUCAGUAACUGGCGUGAAUGUCCUUCCUGGAACAUGAACUCGAAUCAUCCAACGCUCCUCUUCUGGCAAAGUGGCGGUGUAGGUCCCGGUGAAGCUUGGUAUUUCGAUGUUUAGGUACCUGGUGACUUCCUUUAGGUGUCGUCCAAAGGGCGUGUCUUCAUCCGGUUGAGCAAACUAGUUCCUUGGGUCCGCCAUCUAUAGAGUGGAAAAUGGAGAGGAGUCAGAAAUGAGUAGAGAAGAGUGACCUAUGGCUUAUCUUAGUGGCCGCGUCUACAAUCAACGUGUGCUCUAAUACCAUCUUGUAGCGAUCCGACCUCAAACGGUUAAAUCUCUGUGCAUAAGUGUCAUCCCUGGAUCGGUAAUGCUGACACACAUAGUACUUGAAGGAUUUAUAACAGAGUGACAUCACACACUUAUUACAUCGAAUGUCUCAAGAGAGAACUUAUUACAAUAAUAUGGCUUAAGGCCAUCUAAAUAAGAUAACUGCGGAAGCAUCAAAGGUAAAUGCGUCCAUCAACUCCAACGGCAUAGAUGACUGCACGACAACGACCUAGCGCACCUUACUCUUCGUCUGAAAAGUCUGCAGCAUAAUAUGUUGCAGCCCGAAACAGGUCAGCACAUGGAAUAUGCUGGCAAAAUAACACUCGAGAGCAAUGAACAUGAUAAAUGCUAACACUACAUGCAUAUAUGGCUGGUGGAGGCUCUAUGGUUAUCAUGUUUUUGCGAAAAGCCAAUUUUUCCCUACUGCAAAGGAAUAUAAUUUAUUUAACUACAAAGUUGGUUGAUAAACAUUGAGAAUGGAAACCCCAUCUCAAUCCCAAUUAAAUAGUAAUUAACAAGCCAACAAAAUUAAUUAAGAGUGUUGAGAUUAAAUCAAUAAUUAAAGAACCAGAUACUCAAGAUGUCCAUAACCGGGGACACGGCUAACCAUGAUUAGUUUGUACACUCUGUAGAGGUUUGCGCACUUUUCCCAACAAGACUCGAUCUCCUCCGUUGUAUUUCUCACACUGCAUGAUGUUUGAGAAACGGAUGACCGAGACACAGUUUUUCCGAAGAGGUCCCCUUAACCAAUAGAUAGGCCGAUACACCUACAAUCCCCUACAUAUGCUAGCCCAUCAUGGAAAGGAUUCCCACAACUUACUCAACUAUGCCAGAGCCCAUAAUGGCUUGUGGCUGCACACGGAAGUUUUCAGUAUGAAUGAUCUUACGAUCCCUUUGAGCCUGGGUGGCGAACCAUAGGAUGAUGACACGGAUUCCCCGGGAUCUGCUUGGACAACACUGGAUUCCCCAGGUGCCCACAAACAAUCCACCCAGAUGUGUGUUAAAGUAGCCACCUUAAAGAAACCCUUAGUUCAUAGUAAUACUCACAACUGUCAUGAAUCACUCAAACCAAUCCACGUCUACAAGCAUAGCAUAGCAGUAUAAGCAUAACGUAGUAACUCCCUAGGGUUUAAAGAAAAGACAAUAGGUUCUACCUCAUCAACUACUUCCCAAUACCCAUAUGUUAAACAGAUUCUACUCAUGCAAUGUGUGAGGAUUGAAACUAAUGCAUAAAAACUGGGUAAUAAUGGAUAUGAUCAAAGUGUUACUUGCCGUGCUGAUGAUCCGCAAACCAUAGAGACUCGUAGUAGCACGCUUCGCACUUUGGAAAUUCUAUCGCAAACAAACAAUAGCAUACAUAAGCACUCAAGCAUAGAUGCAAAGGUAAAACUCAGAUGAGAAAGUCCAAACUGAAAGUUCAACUGAAGUGCUUCGAUUUGCAAAAAGAAUCAAUCAAAUCAGGGCUACGAAACUCAAACUACGAUCAAAAGAAAUUCAAAUUCAAAUCUUCUUGAAACCAAAUUUUAAAUUGUCAAAAUCAUGUUCAAGUUGGUUAACUGGAAAGAGGGGUUCGAGACGAAGAUUUUGGCGUUGGUUUCACUGGAUUUGGACGAAUGGUUAAAAAGUAACGAGGAUUUGAAGAUCAGGGGCUAAUCUGUGAUAAAAAUAAUCGCAGAUAGGUCCCUGGCUGAAAAUAAAAUAAAAUAAAGGACUAACGAACGAACGUUCGUUAACAGAGACGAACAAAUGAACGCGUUCGUGAACAGUUGCGUUCGGGCGAACGUUCGCUACUUAGCGAAACCGAACAAAAAAACCGAUCUAACCGAUCCAACGAAAACCAGAAAAAAACCGGGCGACGGCGGCGGUUUUUACCGGUUCUUCGAAAAAGACCAGUGACGACGCGGCGACAAGAUCCGGCGGCGGCGCGGCAACGGUGAGGCGGUGGGGCGUCGCGGGCGGCGGCGUCGGCGCGGUGCGGCAGCAGCGAGCAGCAGCGGCGGUGGCUGCAGUGCGGCUCGGGUGGGAGAGGCGACGGGGUAUAAAAGUGUUGGAAAUAUGCCCUAGAGGCAAUAAUAAAAUGGUUAUUAUUAUAUUUCCUUGUUCAUGAUAAUUGUCUAUUGUUCAUGCUAUAAUUGUGUUAUCCGGAAAUCAUAAUACAUGUGUGAAUACAUAGACCACAACAUGUCCCUAGUGAGCCUCUAGUUGACUAGCUCGUUGAUCAACAAAUAGUCAUGGUUUCCUGACUAUGGACAUUGGAUGUUAUUGAUAAUGGGAUCACAUCAUUAGGAGAAUGAUGUGAUGGACAAGACCCAAUCCUAAGCAUAGCACAAAGAUCGUGUAGUUCGUUUGCUAGAGCUUUUCCAAUGUCAAGUAUCAUUUCCUUAGACCAUGAGAUCGUGCAACUCCCGGAUACCGUAGGAGUGCUUUGGGUGUACCAAACGUCACAACGUAACUGGGUGACUAUAAAGGUGCACUACGGGUAUCUCCGAAAGUGUCUGUUGAGUUGGCACGGAUCGAGACUGGGAUUUGUCACUCCGUAUGACGGAGAGGUAUCUCUGGGCCCACUCGGUAAUGCAUCAUCAUAAUGAGCUCAAUGUGACUAAGGAGUUAGCCACGGGAUCAUGCAUUACGGUACGAGUAAAGUGACUUGCCGGUAACGAGAUUGAACAAGGUAUUGGGAUACCGACGAUCGAAUCUCGGGCAAGUAACGUACCGAUUGACAAAGGGAAUUGUAUACGGGAUUGAUUGAAUCCUCGACAUCGUGGUUCAUCCGAUGAGAUCAUCGUGGAACGUGUGGGAGCCAACAUGGGUAUCUAGAUCCCGCUGUUGGUUAUUGACCGGAGAGCCGUCUCGGUCAUGUCUGCAUGUCUCCCGAACCCGUAGGGUCUACACACUUAAGGUUCGGUGACGCUAGGGUUGUAGAGAUAUCAGUAUGCGGAAACCCGAAAGUUGUUCGGAGUCCCGGAUGAGAUCCCGGACGCCACGAGGAGUUCCGGAAUGGUCCGGAGGUGAAGAAUUAUAUAUAGGAAGUCCAGUUUCGGCCACCGGGAAAGUUUCGGGGGUUAUCGGUAUUGUACCGGGACCACCGGAAGGGUCAUGGGGGUCCACCAGGUGGGGCCACCUAUCCCGGAGGGCCCCAUGGGCUGAAGUGGGGAGGGGAACCAGCCACUGGUGGGCUGGUGCGCCCCCCUUGGGCCUCCCCUGCGCCUAGGGUUGGAAACCCUGGGGUGGGGGGGCGCCCACUUGGCUUGGGGGGCAAGCCAACCCCCUUGGCCGCCGCCCCCCCCCUCAGAUGGGAUCUCCAGGGGGCCGGCCCCCCCCCUAGGACCCCUAUAAAUAGUGGGGGGAGGGAGGGCAGCAGUAACCUAGCCCCUGGCGCCUCCCUCUCCCUCCCGUGAUACCUCUCUCUCCCGCUUGUGCUUGGCGAAUCCCUGCCGGGAUCCCCGCUACUUCCACCACCACGCCGUCGUGCUGCUGGAUCUCCAUCAACCUCUCCUUCCCCCUUGCUGGAUCAAGAAGGAGGAGACGUCUCUGCUCCGUACGUGUGUUGAACGCGGAGGUGCCGUCCGUUCGGCGCUCGGUCAUCGGUGAUUUGGAUCACGACGAGUACGACUCCAUCAACCCCGUUCACUUGAACGCUUCCGCUCGCGAUCUACAAGGGUAUGUAGAUGCACUCCUUCCUUCUCGUUGCUAGUAAACUCCAUAGAUGGAUCUUGGUGAUACGUAGAAAAUUUUAAAAUUCUGUAACGAUCCCCAACAGUGGUAUCAGAGCCAGGCCUAUGCGUAGUUACUAUGCACGAGUAGAACACAAAGCAGUUGUGGGCGUAGAUGUUGUCAAUUUUUCUUGCCACUACUAGUCUUAUCUUGUUUCGGCGGUAUUGUGGGAUGAAGCGGCCCGGACCGACCUUAGACGUACGCUUACGUGAGACAGGUUCCACCGACUGACAUGCACUAGUUGCAUAAGGUGGCUAGCGGGUGUCUGUCUCUCCCACUUUAGUCGGAACGGAUUCGAUGAAAAGGGUCCUUAUGAAGGGUAAAUAGAAAUUGGCAUAUCACGUUGUGGUUUUACGUAGGUAAGAAACGUUCUUGCUAGAAACCUAUAGAAGCCACGUAAAAACUUGCAACAACAAUUAGAGGACGUCUAACUUGUUUUUGCACCAUAUCCCUUGUGAUGUGAUAUGGCCAAAAGGAUGUGAUGAAUGAGAUAUAUGUGAUGUAUGAGAUUGAUCAUGUUCUUGUAAUAGGAAUCACGACUUGCAUGUCGAUGAGUAUGACAACUGGCAGGAGCCAUAGGAGUUAUCUUUAUUUUUUGUAUCGCCUGCGUGUCAUUGAAUAACGCCAUGUAAAUUACUUUACUUUAUUGCUAAACACGUUAGCCAUAGAAGUAGAAGUAAUCGUUGGCGUGACAACUUCAUGAAGACACGAUGAUGGAGAUCAUGAUGAUGGAAAUCAUGGUGUCAUGCCAGUGACGAAGAUGAUCAUGGCGCCCCGAAGAUGGAGAUCAAAGGAGCAAAAUGAUAUUGGCCAUAUCAUGUCACUAUUUGAUUGCAUGUGAUGUUUAUCAUGUUUUACAUCUUAUUUGCUUAGAACGACGGUAGUAAGUAAGAUGAUCACUUAUAAUAAUUUCAAGAAAGUGUUCCCCCUAACUGUGCAUCGUUGCGAAGGUUCGUUGUUUCGAAGCACAACGUGAUGAUCGGGUGUGAUAGAUUCUAACGUUCGCAUACAACGGGUGUUGACGAGCCUAGCAUGUACAGACAUGGCCUCGGAACACACGCAAUACACUUAGGUUGACUUGACGAGCCUAGCAUGUACAGACAUGGCCUCGGAACACGGAAGACCGAAAGGUUGAGCAUGAGUCGUAUAGAAGAUACGAUCAACAUGGAGAUGUUCACCGAUCUUGACUAGUCCGUCUCACGUUAUGAUCGGACACGACCUAGUUGACUCGGAUCAUGUUUCACUUAGAUGACUAGAGGGAUGUCUAUCUGAGUGGGAGUUCAUUGAAUAAUUUGAUUAGAUGAACUUAACUAUCAUGAACUUAGUCUAAAAUCUUUACAAUAUGUCUUGUAGAUCAAAUGGCCCACGUUGCCCUCAACUUCAACGCGUUCCUAGAGAAAACCAAGCUGAAAGAUGAUGGCAGCAACUAUACGGACUGGGUCCGGAACCUGAGGAUCAUCCUCAUAGCUGCUAAGAAAGAUUAUGUCCGAGAAGCACCGCUAGGUGAAGCACCCAUCCCAGAGAACCAAGACGUUAUGAACGCUUGGCAAUCACGUGCUGAUGAUUACUCCCUCGUUCAGUGCGGCAUGCUUUACAGCUUAGAACCGGGGCUCCAAAAGCGUUUUGAGAAACAUGGAGCAUAUGAGAUGUUCGAAGAGCUGAAAAUGGUUUUCCAAGCUCAUGCCCGGGUCGAGAGAUAUGAAGUCUCCGACAAGUUCUUCAGUUGUAAAAUGGAGGAAAAUAGUUCUGUCAGUGAGCACAUACUCAAAAUGUCUGGGUUACACAACCGCUUGUCUCAGCUGGGAGUUAAUCUCCCGGAUGACGCGGUCAUUGACAGAAUCCUUCAGUCGCUUCCACCAAGCUACAAGAGCUUUGUGAUGAACUUUAAUAUGCAGGGGAUGAAAAAGACCAUUCCUGAGGUAUAUUCAAUGCUGAAAUCAGCGGAGGUGGAGAUCAAAAAGGAACAUCAAGUGUUGAUGGUGAAUAAAACCACUAAGUUCAAGAAAGGCAAGGGUAAGAAGAACUUCAAGAAGGACGGCAAGGGAGUUGCCGCGCCCGGUAAGCCAGUUGCCGGGAAGAAGUCAAAGAAUGGACCCAAGCCUGAGACUGAGUGCUUUUAUUGCAAGGAAAGUGGUCACUGGAAGCGGAACUGCCCCAAAUACUUAGCGGACAAGAAGGCCGGCAACACCAAAGGUAUAUGUGAUAUACAUGUAAUUGAUGUGUACCUUACCAGUACUCGUAGUAGCUCCUGGGUAUUUGAUACCGGUGCGGUUGCUCAUAUUUGUAACUCAAAACAGGAGCUGCAGAAUAAGCGGAGACUGGCGAAGGACGAGGUGACGAUGCGCGUCGGGAAUGGUUCCAAGGUCGAUGUGAUCGCCGUCGGCACGCUACCUCUACAUUUACCUACGGGAUUAGUUUUAAACCUCAAUAAUCGUUAUUUAGUGCCAGCUUUGAGCAUGAACAUUGUAUAUGGAUCUCGUUUAAUGCGAGAUGGCUACUCAUUUAAAUCCGAGAAUAAUGGUUGUUCUAUUUAUAUGAGAGAUAUGUUUUAUGGUCAUGCCCCGCUGGUCAAUGGUUUAUUCUUGAUGAAUCUCGAACGUGAUGUUACACAUAUUCAUAGUGUGAAUACCAAAAGAUGUAAAGUUGAUAACGAUAGUCCCACAUACUUGUGGCACUGCCGCCUUGGUCACAUUGGUGUCAAACGCAUGAAGAAGUUCCAUGCAGAUGGAAUUUUGGAGUCUCUUGAUUAUGAAUCAUUUGACACGUGCGAACCAUGCCUCAUGGGUAAGAUGACCAAGACUCCGUUCUCCGGAACAAUGGAGCGAGCAACCAACUUAUUGGAAAUCAUACAUACCGAUGUGUGCGGUCCAAUGAGUGUUGAGGCUCGCGGUGGCUAUCAUUAUGUUCUCACUCUCACUGAUGACUUAAGUAGAUAUGGGUAUGUCUACCUAAUGAAACACAAGUCUGAGACCUUUGAAAAGUUCAAGGAAUUUCAGAGUGAGGUUGAGAAUCAACGUGACAGGAAAAUAAAGUUCUUACGAUCAGAUCGUGGAGGAGAAUAUUUAAGUCACGAAUUUGGUACGCACUUAAGGAAAUGUGGAAUCGUUUCACAACUAACGCCGCCUGGAACACCUCAGCGAAAUGGUGUGUCCGAACGUCGUAAUCGCACUCUAUUGGAUAUGGUGCGAUCUAUGAUGUCUCUUACCGAUCUACCGCUCUCAUUUUGGGGCUAUGCUUUAGAGACUGCCGCAUUCACUUUAAAUAGGGCUCCGUCGAAAUCCGUUGAGAUGACACCGUAUGAAUUAUGGUUUGGGAAGAAACCUAAGCUGUCGUUUCGAAAAGUUUGGGGAUGUGAUGCUUAUGUCAAGAAACUUCAACCUGAAAAGCUCGAACCCAAGUCGGAGAAAUGCGUCUUCAUAGGAUACCCCAAGGAAACCAUUGGGUAUACCUUCUACCUCAGAUCCGAAGGCAAGAUCUUUGUUGCCAAGAACGGGUCCUUUCUGGAGAAAGAGUUUCUCUCGAAAGAAAUAAGUGGGAGGAAAGUGGAACUUGAUGAGGUGAUAGUCACCCCUUCCGAACCGGAAAGUAGCGCAGCGCGGGAAGAUGUUCCUGUGGUGCCUACACCGACUGGGGAGGAAGUUAAUGAUGAUGAUCAUGAAGCUUCGGAUCAAGUUACUGCUGAACUUCGUAGGUCCACAAGGACACGUUCAGCACCAGAGUGGUACGGCAACCCUGUCCUGGAAAUCAUGUUGUUAGACAACAGUGAACCUUCGAACUAUGAAGAAGCAAUGGCGGGCCCAGAUUCCGACAAAUGGCUAGAAGCCAUGAAAUCCGAGAUAGGAUCCAUGUAUGAAAACAAAGUGUGGACUUUGACAGACUUGCCCGAUGAUCGGCGAGCGAUAGAAAACAAAUGGAUCUUUAAGAAGAAGACGGACGCGGAUGGUAAUGUUACCAUCUAUAAAGCUCGACUUGUCGCUAAUGGUUAUCGACAAGUUCAAGGGGUUGACUACGAUGAGACUUUCUCACCCGUGGCGAAGCUGAAGUCCGUCCGAAUCAUGUUAGCAAUUGCCGCAUACUAUGAUUAUGAGAUAUGGCAGAUGGACGUCAAAACGGCAUUCCUUAACGGCUUUCUUAAGGAAGAAUUGUAUAUGAUGCAGCCGGAAGGUUUUGUCGAUCCUAAGAAUGCUAACAAGGUAUGCAAGCUCCAGCGCUCCAUCUAUGGGCUGGUGCAAGCAUCUUGGAGUUGGAACAUUCGAUUUGAUGAGAUGAUCAAAGCGUUUGGGUUUACACAGACUUAUGGAGAAGCCUGUGUUUACAAGAAAGUGAGUGGGAGCUCUGUAGCAUUUCUCUUAUUAUAUGUGGAUGACAUACUAUUGAUGGGAAAUGAUAUAGAAUUCUUGGAAAGUAUAAAGGCCUACUUGAAUAAGUGUUUUUCAAUGAAGGACCUUGGAGAAGCUGCUUAUAUAUUAGGCAUCAAGAUCUAUAGAGAUAGAUCAAGACGCCUCAUUGGUUUUUCACAGAGUACGUACCUUGACAAGAUAUUGAAGAAGUUCAAUAUGGAUCAGUCCAAGAAGGGGUUCUUGCCUGUAUUGCAAGGUGUGCAACUGAGCACGGGUCAAUGCCCGACCACGACGGAAGAUAGAGAAAAGAUGAGUGUCAUCCCCUAUGCCUCGGCCAUAGGGUCUAUUAUGUAUGCCAUGCUGUGUACCAGACCUGAUGUAAACCUUGCCGUAAGUUUGGUAGGAAGGUACCAAAGUAAUCCCGGCAUGGAACACUGGACAGCGGUCAAGAAUAUCCUGAAGUACCUGAAGAGGACUAAGGAUAUGUUUCUCGUUUAUGGAGGUGACGAAGAGCUCGUCGUAAAGGGUUACGUCGACGCUAGCUUCGACACAGAUCUGGAUGACUCGAAGUCACAAACCGGAUACGUGUAUAUUUUGAAUGGAGGGGCAGUAAGCUGGUGCAGUUGCAAGCAAAGCGUCGUGGCGGGAUCUACAUGUGAAGCGGAGUACAUGGCGGCCUCAGAGGCAGCGCAAGAAGCAAUCUGGAUGAAGGAGUUCAUUACCGACCUAGGGGUGAUUCCCAAUGCAUCGGGCCUGAUGACUCUCUUCUGUGACAACACUGGAGCUAUUGCCCUUGCCAAGGAGCCCAGGUUUCACAGGAAGACCAGGCAUAUCAAGCGUCGCUUCAACUCCAUUCGUGAAAGUGUUCAAAAUGGAGACAUAGAUAUUUGCAAAGUACAUACGGACCUGAAUGUAGCAGAUCCGUUGACUAAACCUCUCCCUAGAGCAAAACAUGAUCAACACCAGAACUCUAUGGGUGUUCAAUUCAUCACAAUGUAACUAGAUUAUUGACUCUAGUGCAAGUGGGAGACUGUUGGAAAUAUGCCCUAGAGGCAAUAAUAAAAUGGUUAUUAUUAUAUUUCCUUGUUCAUGAUAAUUGUCUAUUGUUCAUGCUAUAAUUGUGUUAUCCGGAAAUCGUAAUACAUGUGUGAAUACAUAGACCACAACAUGUCCCUAGUGAGCCUCUAGUUGACUAGCUCGUUGAUCAACAAAUAGUCAUGGUUUCCUAACUAUGGACAUUGGAUGUUAUUGAUAACGGGAUCACAUCAUUAGGAGAAUGAUGUGAUGGACAAGACCCAAUCCUAAGCAUAGCACAAAGAUCGUGUAGUUCGUUUGCUAGAGCUUUUCCAAUGUCAAGUAUCAUUUCCUUAGACCAUGAGAUCGUGCAACUCCCGGAUACCGUAGGAGUGCUUUGGGUGUACCAAACAUCACAACGUAACUGGGUGACUAUAAAGGUGCACUACGGGUAUCUCCGAAAGUGUCUGUUGAGUUGGCACGGAUCGAGACUGGGAUUUGUCACUCCGUAUGACGGAGAGGUAUCUCUGGGCCCACUCGGUAAUGCAUCAUCAUAAUGAGCUCAAUGUGACUAAGGAGUUAGCCACGGGAUCAUGCAUUACGGUACGAGUAAAGUGACUUGCCGGUAACGAGAUUGAACAAGGUAUUGGGAUACCGAUGAUCGAAUCUCGGGCAAGUAACGUACCGAUUGACAAAGGGAAUUGUAUACGGGAUUGAUUGAAUCCUCGACAUCGUGGUUCAUCCGAUGAGAUCAUCGUGGAACGUGUGGGAGCCAACAUGGGUAUCUAGAUCCCGCUGUUGGUUAUUGACCGGAGAGCCGUCUCGGUCAUGUCUGCAUGUCUCCCGAACCCGUAGGGUCUACACACUUAAGGUUCGGCGACGCUAGGGUUGUAGAGAUAUCAGUAUGCGGAAACCCGAAAGUUGUUCGGAGUCCCGGAUGAGAUCUCGGACGCCACGAGGAGUUCCGGAAUGGUCCGGAGGUGAAGAAUUAUAUAUAGGAAGUCCAGUUUCGACCACCGGGAAAGUUUCGGGGGUUAUCGGUAUUGUACCGGGACCACCGGAAGGGUCAUGGGGGUCCACCGGGUGGGGCCACCUAUCCCGGAGGGCCCCAUGGGCUGAAGUGGGGAGGGGAACCAGCCACUGGUGGGCUGGUGCGCCCCCCUUGGGCCUCCCCUGCGCCUAGGGUUGGAAACCCCGGGGGUGGGGAGCGCCCACUUGGCUUGGGGGGCAAGCCAACCCCCUUGGCCGCCGCCCCCCCCCUCAGAUGGGAUCUCCAGGGGGCCGGCGCCCCCCCUAGGACCCCUAUAAAUAGUGGGGGGAGGGAGGGCAGCAGUAACCUAGCCCCUGGCGCCUCCCUCUCCCUCCCGUGACACCUCUCUCUCCCGCUUGUGCUUGGCGAAGCCCUGCCGGGAUCCCCGCUACUUCCACCACCACGCCGUCGUGCUGCUGGAUCUCCAUCAACCUCUCCUUCCCCCUUGCUGGAUCAAGAAGGAGGAGACAUCUCUGCUCCGUACGUGUGUUGAACGCGGAGGUGCCGUCCGUUCGGCGCUCGGUCAUCGGUGAUUUGGAUCACGACGAGUACGACUCCAUCAACCCCGUUCACUUGAACGCUUCCGCUCGCGAUCUACAAGGGUAUGUAGAUGCACUCCUUCCUUCUCGUUGCUAGUAAACUCCAUAGAUGGAUCUUGGUGAUGCGUAGAAAAUUUUAAAAUUCUGCAACGAUCCCCAACAAAAAGGGCCGGGGGGCUUGCCUUGGGGAGGGGGCGGCGGCAGCUCGUGUCCGAGCCAGACACGGCGCGGCGGCGGCGCGGCUGGGCUUUUGGCUGAGUCGGGCGGGAAAGUUUUUUAAAAAAAUAAAUAAAUUCCGCCAAAAAACAAAAAUCCUAAUAAAAUAUAUAUUUUUUUCUAAAAAUGCCAAAAACAAUUUUCACCGUCUAAAUAAAAUAUUUAGAACAAAGUGAACAUUUUUCUGACCUAAAAAUGCAAUUUUGGAAAAUGCAUAUUUUUCUAAUUCAAAUAAAAAUUCCAAAUAAAAUAUAUUUAUUUGAUCUUAACAUUUUCCUCCAAUUUUCCACUCUUAUUUUGGAGAAGUCAUUUUAUCUCCACUCAUUUAUUUUAAUAACGGAAAUAUUUCAGAGGGAAAAAUUAUUAAAACCAAAAUGAUCCUCUUUUCAGAUUUGAGAAAAUUCAAAUAUGAAAAUAAAUGAAAUCCCCAACUCUCUCCGUGGGUUCUUGAGUUGCUUAGGAUUUCUAGGAUCACAAACAAAAUGCAAAUAAAAUAUGAUACGCAUAUGAUGACCUAUGUAUAACAUCUAAAUUGAAAAUUUGGGAUGUUACAAUGCAUUAGUCCCUUAACAUAUAAGUCUUCAAUACACCAAAAUCACUAAGGGGCACUAGAUGCACUUACAAUCUCCCCCUUUUUGGUGAUUGAUGACAAUAUAGGUUAAGUUUUCAACGGGGAUAAAUAUAUGAAGUGUAAAUACUGAUUUUGAGGAAUUUGAUUGCAAGAUAUAGAAGAACUCCCCCUGAAGAUGUGCGUAUGUGAGGAAUUUGCUUUUGAGUAGCAAUGCACAUUGUAGAUUAGAAUCAUGGAGAUCUCCCCCUAUAUCUUGUAAUUCAUACACACAUUUGACAUAGGAUAUGAAGAAUUUGAAAUGCAUGAUGAAAUAUGGUGACUGAUGUAAUUUAGCAUGCGUGCAUUAACAUAUAUGAGGAAAUAGCAUGCAGAAAAACAUAGCAAAAGUAUCAGAUCACCAUCGGACUUAAGUUUACAACUCAAUCCAACAAAUCUUCAGAAGAACGAGAGUUGUAACUUUGCAAAAAAACGUCCAUAUAUAAAGACCCGCUUGAAGACUAACUCAAAUUUCUCCCCCUUUGUCAUCGAAUGACCAAAAGGCAUGAAAAGUGAGGACUAACGCCCCUGAAGAAUAUCAUCACGAAGUUGAUGGAGGAGCGCCAGUGUUCUUGGGGUCGUUUGUUGAUGUAGGGCCUGCCGUAGUGUAGUCCAAGUCUUCAUGUUCAUCAGUCUCGCGCGAUGAAGAAUAGGAGCUGGCCACCAAGUGAGGAACUUUGACCUUCUUGAAUUUCUUCGAAGGUGGCUGAGACCAGUCAAAGUCCUUCUUGAAGCCCAUCUGCUUGAGAUCUUCUUCACCGUAGAUAUGAGAUAGAACAGCCCAGGUGCGAUCAAACACUUCAUGCAGAUAGUAAUGGUUCUUCUUCGCUGAGUUCUGAGUGAUUGUCAUGUUCUGAAGAAUUGAAACAAACUGUCGCUUGACCCAUUUCUGGUUGGGAUCGACCUUCUGAUGAAGACUGAGGAGAAGCUCAUGAUCAGUCAUCACCCUUGGAGCAGUGCCUUGAGGAUUUGGCUUUGAAGCAUUUGAGGCAGUGUCAUGAUUGGCAGAGUCAUCAUUGGUGGAGUAGGAUGCAGCUUUGCGAAACUGGCCAUCCAAUGGAUGAGUGCCUUCAUCAAUGACAGCGGCCUUGCCCUUCUCAUCGGCUGAGGAAAUAGUCCGCUUGAGGACUUUAAUUGGGGGCAAGUAGCUGCCAUGAUUGAGAGUGUCAGCCUUGUAGUUGAUUGAAGCCCUUGAUCUAACGAAUCUCAUGAUCCACGGAGCAUAAGUCUUCAAUUCAAACGGUGAAAGAGCGACAUUGGCCAAAGUCCUGUUGAAGAAAUCAUGGUAGUUGAUAGGCACACCAUGUAUGAUGUUGAAAAGCAGAUUCUUCAUGAUGCCAACAAUCUCUUCUUCAUUAGAGUCGUGGCCCGUGAUUGGACUGAGGGUCUUGGUCAAUAUCCUGUAAACUGUCCUUGGCACAUAGAGCAAUUCCUUGACGAGGAAUUUGGUCCGAGGAGCUUGGCCAGGCUUCAAAGGCUUCAUUAGCACUUGCAUGAAAUGAUCAGAUAGUUCAGCGUCAUGGUAGAUGAGCCUUGCACCUUCAAGGGGAGGACUGACUGGGAGUGCAUAGAGUAAUUCAGAGGCCGGAGCUUUGUAGUGAGUGUUUUCAGUCAUCCAGUCCAACACCCAUGAAUUCACACCUUCAGCGUUGCCGGUGAUGUGCAACAUAGCAUAGAACUGAAGAAUGAGUUCUUCAUUCCAGUCGCCUAUGUCGGUGCAGAAGUUGAGCAGCCCAGCGUCAUGAAGAACACUGAGGACUGGGGUGAAGCAGGGCAGCGACUCCAUAUCCACAUGAGGAAUGUGCUCAUGGUCAAAGAUCUUGUCUUUAUCGAAUAGCAGUGAAGAGUAGAAAUUCAUCUGACUUGUUGUCCAGAAGCGCUUCCAUCGAAGACGAGCAGAGUCAUAGGGAUUGAAGUCAGUGAAGAAAAGGUGCUCAUUGAAGAAAUCUUCAGCUUUGAACUUCUGUUUCUUGGAGAAGGGAUUCUUGGGCUUGGGCUGAGGAGUGUCAAUCAAAGUCUUCACAGCCUCUUGAACCACAUUCUCUAGAGCCGCAGGCUAAGGAAUUUCAGUUGCAAUGUCAUCAGUGGCAGCUUGGGUCUCCAUUUCUUCAGCAGCAUUUACAUCAGCGCUAGUGGCUGGAACUUCUUCAGGGAUGGUAAGAAGAGAAGAUUUAGGUUCAUCAGAGCCCGUGUGAAUUUCUUUGGUCUGAACAGGGGACUGAGGAAUCUGUUGCAGAGGUGUGAACAUUGGUGAAUUGGGAUGAUGACUUUCCCAAGUAGUCAUCGUUCAGAAUUGGAGUGGUGCACCCAAUGUCCACGUCUUCAUCUUCCUCAUCAAUUUCUUCAACGCCGGCCUCUUCAGCAGUGAACUGAGGCAUGGGCGAGGAUACCAGUGGGGUUGAAGGGAUGUUAUCCACUUCAAUUUCUUCAUCCAACUGCUCUGUCAAGGCAGUAGAAGGAUCUUCUUCAUCUGAUUCAUUGGGAAUCUCAUAUUCCUCAUCAAAGGGUACAAUCUCCUUUAAUGGCAUGCUUGAAACAGGAACAACAUCGAUAUGAUUUUCAUACGAGCUUGUCAAAGUCUUCAUUUUCUUUGGAGCUGAAGACUCUGAGGAAGCAGAUGCUUUCCUUUUCUUCACAGCUGCUCGCUCUGCAGCCUUGAUUUUCUUCACUUCUGAUGCAGAAGGAAGGAUAGAACUUGUCGUUGGUGCAGGAGGAGCAGAGGAAUUUGGUUCAUUUUCCUCAGGCGCAACUGAUGCAUUUGCCCUGGCAUUGUUAGUGUCUUCAGGCGCAACAGCGAUGCUUCAACUGGCCUGGAUUGAUCCUCAGGCGCAACACUAGAGGUUGCCCUGGCAGUUUCUUUAGCGGCUGGAAUUUCUUCAUCAGCCCUGGUGGUUUCAGAAUCAUCAACAGUCUGAUUGUCAUCAGCUGUGCUUGCAUGUUCUUCAGUUGGCUGUGCAGAAGCUUCAGCCUGAGGAGAUUCACGUUGCAUUGGGGCUGCAACAUUUGAGGUGAUCCUUUCUGCCAUCUUGACGAAUCUGACCUUGGCUCCUAGCCAAUCUGCACGGUAGGCGUCAAAUUCAUCAUCGAGGGUUUUGAUCUCAGCUUGCAUGGUCACAAGUUCAUCAGUUGUCAUCUUGACAACAUUCUUCUUCAGGUAACGCUCCUUCUUGUACUGAGCUUUCUUCAGUUGUCUGGCCUUUUCAAAUUUCCAUUUUUCUUCGCCUAUGAAGGCUGUCAACAUGUGACCUUGGCCAGGUGUGAGGUUGAAGUCAGGCAUAGGAGUGUUGGGGUCCUUGUGCCAAAGAUCAAUGAAAUCUAGGAUCAACUUGGGAUCCAACAGAAGAGGCACAUCUGUGCCUUUGGCUCUACCGGCCCGUUGCUGUCCGUCUCUGAUGAUUUCAGCGAGUUCUUCAUCAUCAGCUUCGUCUUCACUGGACAACACAUGAAAGGCAACCUGCUUUUUGUGAGGACUUGGUCUAGUGCCUCGUCCAGCAGUGGCCUUGGUCUUUAGCAAUGUUGGGCCAGUUGAGGACUGCGGAGGAGCUGAAGAACUUGCAGAUGCUCCUGAAGCAAUUGAGAUGCCUAUGGUCCUUUGGCAAGAGGCGAGAUGCGCAGGUGCCGAGAACUUUGUAGCAGCAGCUGAAGGUCUUGGAGCAGAGGGGACUGGUGCUGCUUGAGGAAUUUGCCGUGAGGGCUUUGACGAGCUUGGCCGUGAAGGCAUAUCUGAGGAACUGGGCUUGCGAGCUGGCUUCUUGGGCAUAGCCUUCUUAGGCUUGCUAGCAGAGGCAUCGGCAGCAGCAGCAGUAGCAGAGUCUUCGUUGAAUUUCCUCACUGCUUCUCUGGCCAUUUUGGCCAAUUUAGCUUGCCGUUUGGCCCAUUCAUCAGGAUAGUCCUCACCGUGCUUGAGGCUAGUGGGAUUAGCAAUUUGGCCAGGUGCCAAUGGAGGUCUUGGGCAAGAAGGGUGUAGAGCGAAUUUCUUCAUAUACUUAGGAGUAACAUAUCUGUACUCCCUCCAUUCCCGUGCCCAUCUUCUUUCGAUCUUCUGAAUGCGCACCUUGCGCUGAUUCUUAUUCUCCUUGCCAUGUUUGGCUUCAUCAGGAGUGCAAUAUUCUGCAUAAAUGUCAUCAGGGAUCUCAAACGCUGUGUUAACUUCUGGUCUCUUGCCUUCCUUCUGAGGUCUCUUGCCAUCAGCCAUUUUCUUCAGCUGAGGAUUUUGAACAAUGGAAUUCUCUGAAGAGGUGUGUAACUUGUCUUCAAGGAACGCUGCAAAUGAGUUAAGUUGAAGAGAACCUAGUGAUUCAGCAGCGGACAUGAGUACCUGUGAACAGAGUAUAGGUGCGAAGAAUUUGGAGAGGUCAUAUGCGUUCUCAGAAGUUUUGCAAAAUGAACAAGUUUGAGGAAUUUGACCAGAGGUGUCUUGAGAAUUUCACUAAGCGUUCUUUGACUUAGGUUCCAGAGUUGUAUAGAUUGUAAAAUCCACACAAUUGAGGAAUCUUGAAGAAAAACGUUACUUAGAGUAAUAGAUCAAGAACAGAUGCUUGUGAGGUGUUUACUUGUGUGGAAGUUGAAGAAUAAAUACCUUUUGAAGAUUUUGUGGAAAUCAACAGAAUCAACAAGGGCAGUAAAAAUAAAUUUAGUUACCCUUGACGAAGAACAUGACGAACUGGGAGUUGAAGAUUGGAAGUUCGUCCGUUCAGAUCUUCCACGCCCUAACUUGGCGAAGGAAGACAGCUAUGGCGGCGGCGGAGUGAAGAUUUCCGCGGUCGGCGCGAGUACAACGGCAACGAGGUCGAGGCAGUGAAGUUCUUCCUCACCGGCGACGAUGGAAGUAGCAGCGACGCUAGGUCAGAGAGCUCGAGCGAGGGGAGUGAGGUCGAGCGGGGUGAAUGAAGUCUGAGGAGGAUGAGGGGUAUUUAUAACAAGGUGAAAAACCGCUCACCCAAGGAAAAUGGACGAACGUGCCCCUGACCCUUCUCAUCCUUGUGACAUGUGCCACCCACGUACAGAGAGGUGGAGAUCGUGUGAGAUCGUGGGUGAAUAGAUAAGUCUUAUCGUGGGAAUUGGAACGGUUUGAGCGGCAAAAGCCAAAAAUUCAGAUAAGAUUAUUUUAAAGUUUCGUUCUCAAAUUCUUCAGCUGACAAGGACACAGUGAAGAUUUUGAACGGGUUUCAAAUAGAACGCACAUGAAGAAUUUGUGAACAGACUGGGUUGAGUUUAGCAUAGAGGGGGAAGGGUCCGAUCACAUUCACUUAGCGGAAGAGUCAACCUGAAGAAUUAGCAAUAAGUGAAUGCUGUAGAGGACGUAAAACUCAAAUAUAUAUAUAUAUAUAUAUAUAUAUAUAUAUAGUCAAUGUAGAACAAAGAUGGAAAGAGUGAAGACAAUGCAAAAAAGAACAACUGAGGAAUUUCAAAACUGAGGAAAAACUCAAAUUGAAGAAUUUCAACUUUUGUUGGUGGCGUGACCCACCGUAUAAGAAUGAUGAUUUCAGAUGCCGCGUACAAUUGUCGUAGGGUUCUGAGAAUCAAAUUCUUCGUUAAUUCUUCACACUUAGAGGGUUAGUCUUCAUUGAUUGAAGAAAAAUGUUACUUCGUGUGUUGCACAUCUAAGUCAUCAAUUUUGCAUAAGUGUUAAGAUGUGUGUCCUUUUCAAAGGACAUUCGAAGAUUCUAAGAUAUUUAGCUCACACCGCAACUUGCUAAAUCUCUUCUCAUCCAAGGGCUUUGUGAUAUGGCUAGCUGUUCUUCAGUAUUCACGUGCUCGAUAGAGAUGUCGCCCUUCAACACAUGAUCAUGAAGAAAAUGACGACGAAUCUGGAUGUGCUUUGUCUUCGAGUGCUGAACUGGGUUGUGAGCAAUCUUGAUGGCACUCUCAUUGUCACAGUAGAGUGGCACAUUCUUCACAUUGAUGCCAUAGUCCUUGAGAGUUUGCUUCAUCCAUAGCAAUUGAGCACAGCAGGAACCAGCAGCAAUGUACUCAGCUUCAGCAGUAGAGAAUGAUACGCAGUUCUAUUUCUUCGAGGACCAACAUACCAAGGAUCGUCUGAGGAAAUGGCAUGUGCCUGAUGUUGACUUGCGGUCCACACGAUCACCAGCAUAGUCAGAGUCUGAAUAUCCAAUGAGAUCAAAAGCCGAGCCCUUGGGAUACCAUAAUCCAAGUGUUGGAGUGUCAGCUAGAUAUCGAAGAAUAUGCUUCAUAGACUUAUGGUGUGAUUCCUUCGGUGUAGCUUGAAAUCGGGCACACAUGCAAACACUAAGCAUAAUAUCUAGCCUAGAUGCACAUAGAUACAAUAAAGAACCAAUCAUGGAGCGGUAUACCUUUUGAUCAAAGUCAAUACCAUUUUCAUCAGUGCAUAGAUGGCCAUUUGUGGACACAGGGAUUUUGACGCCUUUGCAAUCUUGCAUGCCGAAUUCCCUCAAUACAUCCUUGAGGCAUUUCUCCUGAGAUAUGAAGAUGUUGUUGCGCUGUUGACGAAUUUGAAGACCUAAGAAGAAUUUCAAUUCUCCCAUCAUACACAUUUGAUAUUCUUCACUCAUCAUAUAGGCAAAUUCAUCACUGUAACGUUGGUCAGUACAGCUAAAGAUGAUAUCAUCAACAUAUAUUUGGCACACGAAUAAUUCAUCAGGUUUUGGUGAAAAGAGUUGGGUCAAGUGAACCGGGUUUGAAGCCUUUCUUCAUGAGGAAUUCCUUCAAAGUAUCAUACCAUGCCCGAGGGGCCUGCUUGAGGCCAUAGAGGGCCUUAUUGAGUCUGAAGACUUUGUCAGGAUGCUUUGGAUCUUCAAAACCUGGGGGUUGAGCAACAUAUACUUCUUCCUCAAGCUUACCAUUGAGGAAUGCACUUUUCACAUCCAUUUGAUAUAAGAUGAUAUUAUGAUGGUUAGCAUAAGCAAGCAAUAUGCGAAUAGCCUCAAGUCUAGCAACAUGUGCAAAAGUUUCAUCAAAAUCAAUUCCUUCAACCUGUGUGUAGCCUUGAGCUACAAGUCGUGCCUUAUUUCUCACUACAAGCCCAUUUUCAUCUUGCGUGUUGCGGUAGAUCCAUUUGGUGCCGAUGAUAUUGUGCUUGUGAGGGUCUGGUCGCUUGACAAGUUCCCAGACAUUGUUGAGCUCGAACAGAUGUAAUUCAUCUUGCAUCGCUUGAAUCCACUCAGGCUCUAGAAAUGCCUCAUCUACUUUGGUGGGCUCUGUGAUAGAGACAAAAGCAAAGUGCCCACAAAAGUUAGACAUAUGUGAAGCUUUUGAGCGUGUGAGAGGACCUGGUGCAUUGAUGUCACUGAUGAUUUUCUCGAUCUGGACUUCAUUUGCAAGACGAGGAUGAGCGGGUUGACGGCGUUGAGUCGGCUCAGCAUUUUCUUCAGAGCCAUUUUCCUCAGGUGCAUCAGCAUGAUGGUCUUCACGUUUUGGAAUGACUUGUUCAGCAGAUUCUUCGGUAGGAAUGACAUCCUCAGUAGCCUUGAACUUGAUGGAUUCCUUAGGUGACUUAUCAUCUGGCACCGGAGGUAGGUGCUCUCUUUGCGAGCCAUUAGUUUCAUCGAACCGCACGUCUACAGUUUCAACAACCUUGUGAUGAACGAUGUUGAAGACUCUGUACGUGUGCCAGUCCUUUUCGUAACCAAGCAUAAAACCUUCAUGUGCUUUCGGUGCAAAUUUAGAAUUGUGAUGAGGAUCUCUAAUCCAACAUUUAGCACCAAAUACUUUGAAAUAACUCACAUUGGGUUUCUUGUCAGUAAGGAGUUCAUAUGAGGUCUUUUUGAAGAAUUCGUGAAGAUAUACCCUGUUGAUGAUGUGGCACGCAGUAUCAAUUGCCUCAGGCCAAAAAUGACGAGGCGUCUUGUAUUCGUCAAGCAUAGUGCAAGCCAUCUCAACAAGAGUCAUGUUCUUGCGGUCCACGACGCCGUUCUGCUGAGGAGUAUAAGGAGCAGAUAACUCGUGAGUAAUACCAAGUUCAUCAAGAUAGUUAUCAAGACCAGUAUUCUUGAACUCGGUCCCAUUGUCACUUCUGAUGUGCUUGAUCUUCACAGCAAAGUUGGUUGAAGCCCUCGAGGAAAAUCGUUUGAAGACUUCCUGCACUUCAUAUUUGUAAGUGACGAUAUGCACCCAUGUGUAACGAGAAUAGUCAUCAACAAUAACAAAGCCAUAUAAUGAUGCGGCAUUGGUGAAUGUGGCAUAAUGAGUAGGGCCAACGAGAUCCAUGUGAAGCAAUUCUAUGGACGAGUGGUAGUCAUGAUGGUCUUUGAGGGAUGCUUGGCCUUGGUCAUCUUUCCAGCUUCACAGGCUCCACACAGAUGAUCCUUGAGGAAUUUGACAUCCUCGAUACCAAUGACAUGCUUCUUCUUCGCGAGCGUGUGCAAGUUCCUCAUGCCAGCAUGACCAAGUCGUCGAUGCCAUAGCCAGCCUUCUGAAUCUUUUGCAAGUAGACAUGUAGUAGGUUGUGGUCCUAUAGAGAAAUCAACAAUAUACAAGUCUCCUCUCCUAAAGCCUUCGAAGACUUUGGAAUGGUCAGCUUCCAUGAUCACAACACAUCGAUACUUGCCGAAGACAACAACCAUAUCAAGAUCACAAAGCAUUGAGACAGACAUGAGGUUGAAUCCUAAGGACUCGACAAGCAUGACUUUGUCCAUGUGUCGAUCCUUUGAGAUCGCAAUCUUACCUAGACCCAAUACCUUGCUUUUGCCUUUGUCAGCGUAGGUGAUAUGCUUCAGAUGUGAUGGAGAUAAAGCAGUGUCCAUCAAUAAACUCCUGUCACCAGUCAUGUGAUUCUUACAUCCACUGUCGAGGACCCACUCAAUAGCUUUUGGUUAAUCAUCCUGUAGAUGAAUUAGUGAAUCUUACGAACUCAUAUACUUCAUCAGUGAAGAAUAUGACAUCAAAUUCAUCAGAUCAAUUUCAUCAAGCAAUAGAACAGAUAUAGCAGCAGGAGGACGUGAGAAAUGAAAAUUCAUUUCUUCAUGAUUAGCUUGCGUCCUUUCAAGCAUUAUUCAGGUUUCCAGCAAAUUCUUCAGACGAUUAAAUACGUCUGGAGACCUAACCCUGCAUAAGAGAUUAGUUAUUUUUCUUCACCACCCACAUAUGGAGGGGUGGCAAAGAGUUCAUCAUUCUGCGAGCUCCAUAAGAGAAAGGUGGCAUAGACGCCAAUCCACUCCGUUUCACAUAAGAGGGGUUAGAGUAAGCAUAUGAAUAAGCAGAGAAAUUCUUCGAGGACUUAUGAACAUAAUGGUUUGAAGAAUAAUGCACAUAUUCAUAGCCCUUAGAUCUUUCCAACGAAACAGAAGUGUUAGAACGAUGAUGCUCAUAUGAGGACUUUCAUCCAUAUGAGGAAUUUGAUCCACGUGAGGAAUGUGGUCCAUAUGAGGACUUGGAUCCAUAUGAAGACUUUGGUCCAUAUGAAGAAUUUGAUCUGGGGUUCCUAUUCUUCACAGGCGGUGUCAUGACGACAUUCACCUGAAGACUUUCAAGACAUCUUUUGGGAACCCAGAUUUUCUUCAUAGGGGGGCCGUUCCUGCAGUUAGUGCCAACAUAUCUAGCAAAUACUUCACCAUUCUGAUUUUUUGAACAGUUUAUAGUUGGAGUCAAAUGACUCAUCAGAAGAAUAUGAAGAUUCACAUGUAAAGCCAGAUAAAGUAGAUGGAUCUACGGGAGGUCCCUUUGCAGCAACCCAUGAGGUUUUGGGAUACUGCUCAGGUUUCCAGUAGGUCCCAUCAGCAUUGAGUUUCCUCUCAAAGGCAAUACCCUCUUUCCUAGGGUUCCUAUUGAGGAUCUGCUUUUUAAGCACAUCACAAAGUUCUUGAUGCCCUUUGAGGCUUUUGUACAUGCCUGUCACAUACAAUUCCUUCAGCCCUGCAUUGUCAGUGAUACUAGUAGCAUCCUCAGAUGAGGGAUUUGUGAUAGCAGAGACAGUUGAAGAAUUUGCAGCAAUAAAAGCAUUUGAACUUUCAGGUGAAGAAUUAGCAGAUUCACACUCAAUGCAUUUCAAACAUGGUGGAAUGAAUUCUUCCUGAGCGGCACUGAUCUAUUGAGCAAGCAAUGAAUCACGUUCCUUCUGAAGACCUUCAUAACUCUCCCUUAGCUUCUCAAGAUCUUGCUUUCUUUGAAGAAAUUCAUAAGAAAGCUUCUCAUGAUCAGAUAAGAGAGUGUUAUGAUGACUCUGAAGGUUAUCAAACUUGGACUGAAGUCUCUAAAGAUUAUCAGUCAAGGUUUGAGUGCGAUCCAUUUCUUCACCCAAUAGGUCAUCGCUUUUGUCUAGCAUAUUUUGAACCUUUUGAAAGGCCUUUUGUUGUUUUACAGCAAUCUUAGCAAGUUUAGAGUAGCUAGGCUUGAGGUUUUCAUCAGAUUCAUCCUCACUUGAUUCAGAGGAGGGAUAUUUGAGUACCUUGGCACCCUUUGCCAUGAAGCAAUAGGUAGGAGCGUAGUCAUCAUUGCCGUCGUCAGCAGUGUUGGGGAAGCCAUUCUCCUCAGAGUUGAAGAUGGACUUGCUGACGAACACAGUAGCGAGGGCUAGACUCGCCACACCAGAUUCUGACUCCUCAGAUGCCUCCUCUUCCUCAUUUUCCUCAGAUUCAGCUUCGGAGUCCAUUUCCUUGCCAAUGAAUGCCCGAGCCUUUUUGGAGCUGCUCUUCUUGUGGGAUGAAGACUUUGACGAUUCUGGUGAUGAAGACUUUGAAGAUUUAUUCUUCUUCGAUUCCUUUUCCCACAGAGGACAAUCUUGAAUGUAGUGACCAGGUUUCUUGCAUUUGUGGCAGGUACGCUUCUUGUAGUCACGGGAUGAGGAAUCUGAUCUCACGUCAUCACUUCUUGAGGAUUUACCAAAGCGACCACGUCUUGAGAACUUCUGGAAUUCCCUCACGCGCAUUGCUAGCUCCUGGCUCAGUUCUUCAGGAUCACCAAGGCUACUACCAGAAUCCUCACCUUCAAAUUCAGAGACUGCCUCGGCCUUCAAAGUGCGUGUUCUGCCAUAGCUUGAUCCAUAGAGAUCUCUCUUCUCAGCAAGUUGGAACUCAUGAGUGUUUAGCCUCUCAAGGAUAUUAGCGGGAUCAAGUGCCUUGUAGUCUCCACGUUCUUGUAUCAUCAGUGCAAGAGUGUCAAAUGAGGAAUCAAGCGAUCUCAGCAAUUUCUUCACCACCUCAUGGUCGGUGAUGUCAGUGGCACCAAGUGCUUGAAGCUCAUUUGAGAUGUCAGUGAGGCGAUCGAAGGUUUGCUGGACAUUUUCAUUAUCGAGUCUUUUAAAACGGUUGAAGAGAUUGCGAAGAACGUCAACUCGAGAGUCACGCUGUGUUGAGACUCCUUCGUUGACCUUGGACAACCUAUCCCAGAUAAGCUUAGCUAUCUCUAAAGCACUCACUCUGCCAUACUGCCCUUUGCUCAGAUGGCCACACAUGAUGUUCUUCGCUUGAGAGUCGAGUUGCUUGAAUCUCUUCACGUCAGCAGCGUUGAUGGUAGGAGUGAUAGAGGGAACACCAUUUUCCACAACAUACCAGAGAUCGUUGUCAAUUGCCUCAAGAUGCAUUCGCAUCUUAUUCUUCCAGUAGGGGUAGUCCGUCCCAUCGAAGGUAGGACACCCGGCAGAGACCUUGAUCAUACCUGCGGUCGACAUAACUAAAAUUCCAGGCGGUUAAACCAAAAUCACACAGAACAAGGGAGUAACUUGCUCUGAUACCAAUUGAAAGUGCGUUAUAUCGACUAGAGGGGGGUGAAUAGGCGAUUUUUACAAAUUCGUCACUGUGGAAUUUCAGGAUGAGGAAAUUCCUAAGUCACGAACAACUAGCAGCGGAAUAAGUACUCAGAUGCAUGCAUAACAGAACAGAAGCACGGUCAUCAUGAUGAAAUGAAAACAAACAAUGAGUACAGGAAGCGUAAACACAGGAUAAGCAGGCUGAAGACAAACUAACUGAAGAAAUUGAACUGAGGAAAUUGAGAAAGUCUUCAGUCAAAGUCUUCAAACGGUAUCGAUCAGGUACAACAACACAGUAAUGAGGAAAUGAAAGGGUUGAGGAAAUAGAACCAGUUAGCUUGGUGAAGACAGUGAUUUGGUAGACCUGUUCCAACUGCUGUGACAGUCGUACGUCUGGUUGGAGCGGCUAGGUAUUUAAACCUGAGGACACACAGUCCUCACCGUAUUCUCCUUGAGCUAAGGUCACACAGACCUCGCCCAAUCACUCGUGAUAAGUCUUCAGGUGACUUCCAAACCUUCACAGAUUCGGUCACUCGGCGAUCCACAAUUUCCUCUUGGAUGCUCUAGACCAUGACGCCUAACCAUCUGGAAGAUGCACAGUCUUCAAAGGUAACAAGUGUCGGUUCCACACAGGAACAAUCUCUUCAGUGAUGCUCAAUCACUUUGGGUUUGUAGGUGUUUGGGUUUGGGUUUUUCUCACUUGAUGAUUUUCGCUCAAAGUCCUCGGAGGAUGGGAUGCUCUCAAUGACAAGUGUUGGUUUCUCUCAGAGCAGCCAACCAGCUAGUGGUUGUAGGGGGCGGCUAUUUAUAGCCUAGGGAGCAGCCCGACAUGAUAAGACAUAAAUGCCCUUCAAUGAUAUGACCGUUAGGUGGAUAAGAUAUUUUGGGACAGCUGGCGCAUAGCACAACAACGGUCGGAAAUUUGAGGUUCAAAUUCCUCAGGGCUAUCAUGUGCCUCACUUGUAGGCAAUCCGCACUGGCAAAUUCCUAACUCCUCGGUCAGAACAAAUUCCUUAGAGACCAGAAGAACUUCGUCUCUGUCACUGAAGAAAUUGACUGAACUGUAUGAGAUUUCCAAUGGCUUCACUCGAAGGGAUUGGUAGGUGUAGGAUUUUGAGUUGAGCAUCACUUGGAAACUUUUCCUUAGUUUUACCUCGACCCCCUUUAACAGUACGGUGUUUCCUAUGACUCAAGAAAGAGAAAAUGAAACUACGAAAAGAAAAGUCUUCACGCUUCAUGUUCCUCACAUGAAUAUCAAGUUUUCAUGGUCACACCAAUUUCUUCACUUUCAAAGUCUUCAGAAAGCCAAAGUCUUCAGUUGAAGACAUUCAUUUUUAGGGGUCGACUUUCUCUAUAAAUAUCAAACUCCUCAUAGACUUAUAGACCCGUGUACACUCACAAACACAUUAGUCCCUUAACCUAUAAGUCUUCAAUACACCAAAAUCACUAAGGGGCACUAGAUGCACUUACAAGGCUACCUGGUUGUAGGGCUGGUGUUGCUUGUUUGAUUUGUUGAGAUGCUUAUUCGCUUGUUAUCUAGUUGCAACUUGGCUUUGAAAGUUGCGGUCUAUUUCCUUUUAAGAUGUUGCGAGGGUUGGCUACUGUAGGGAGUCUUCCUAUGUUGCCUGCCUAUUGUUUGCAUUGUUUUUUUUGUUUCUUCGGUCAUGUCACUACAGAUUGAUUUGAUGAUUAAAGCAUGUAUCAGUGAUGUAGUCCUAUUGUGAAGAUGCUUAUUGUUUCAUUUCUGUAAUGUAGGAACAUGUAUAUCCUUUCAAGUUCACUGAUGUGGUUACCACUACAACACAUGUGCCCCCAAGGACCAAGGGUGGACAUGAUCUUCUACAAGGUUGUUGUCUGUGACUAUUAGGACGGGAUCAACUUUGCGGUGUCCCCAUUGCUACAAGUCAAGCUAAUAGAGCUAAAUGGGUAUCCAAUUUUAGAAAGCACACUUAAGAAACAUGCACACGUGUCUUUAGAUCCUAUGGAGCAUUCCUAAUAAUGACCAUCUAUUUAACUAUCUUGGAUCAUUACCAUUACAAAAUGCAGCAUGGCAUUCAUAAUGUUCAGUUAUUCAUAAAUGUGGCAUUUAAUUCUUCUCCUGGCAUGAUAUUUAAGCAUGUUGCAUAUACCAAUCUAUUGAUAAUUCAAUUAUUGAUUCUGAUGUACAAACAGGCAAAACCAUUGCAUGUUUGGAUGAUGCACAUGAAUAUGUUUUUGUUAGUUUUCGAUGAUGUACGCCGUGAAGCGGGACGGGCGGACGGAGACGGUGCACUUUGACAAGAUCACGGUGCAGCUUAAGAAGCUCAGCUAUGGGCUCAGCCAGGAGCACUGCGACCCCGUGCUUGUCGCGCAGAAGGUCUGCGUCAGGGUAUACAUGGGCGUCACCACCAGCCAGCUCGACGAGCUCGGCGCCGAGACCGCCGCCGCGCUCACCGCCUCCCAGCAUGACUAUGCCUCCGUACGUUCCCUCUUUCGAUCUGUCUCUCCCCUUCUGGUCCGUUCCGUUCCCCCCUCACGGCGCCCGGGUUCGUGUCUCCUAGCCUGACGUAUGUGCGUGUGUGGUUCUUCUACAGCUCGCGGCGAGGAUUGAUGUGUCCAACCUGCCGCCAAGUGGAAAUAGUCUGUGUGGUGCUCGUAAAUAGAGAGCAUUCUGGUAGAAAGGUACAAGAAAGAAUAGGGAAACUUCUGUCAUUUUCUUUGGUCUCUGAAAAAUAAAUGGUGAUAUGGGCUGAUACAUUGCUAAAUUACAUGAUACAAACUCACUUCUCUUUUUUGAUUUUUGGUUUACUUCGUUGUGCUACAAUGGCUCUCCUAGGAAUGUUCUUCCAUGCUUUGAUGUGCACAAUCCAGAAAGUGCAUGCAUCCAGAAACCAAAUAGGAUUUUUUUUUUGUGUGUUAUCUUCUCAUAAAUCUUGUGCUCGUCCAAUAAGAAUAAGGUUUGGUGGUAUUGCUUUUGUCUGUCACCCGAUAGAUUUCAGACUUCAAGCUAGCUACAGUUAUUUCAAGUUAUAUGUGCAAAUCCUUGGUGUGACAUGAUUGGUAACUGACCAUGAAUACGUUGUAAUCUGAUAUGUCUAAUUCUUGAUUUAUGUGGUACCAUGGUCUAAAAAUUAGUCCUAAAGAUACAUGAUGUUUUUGUACAAAGUUGAGACAGUUAUUUUGGAACCGAGGGAGUAUUAGAUUAUUUUGUUCCUUUUUAAUUUGGUUCUAAAGAUAUAGUUUCAGAGUGAUCAUUUUGCAUCAGCCAAGCUUGCCAUUGUUACAAAUAAUUGUUCUGUUGUCCUCAAUUCACUUUCUCGGUUUUUUAAUGCUACAAGCAUUAUUGUUCCAGUUUUUUUAGUUAUUGAUCAUGCCAUUUUUCUUUCUGCCUUUGUAGCUGAAAGAUUAGUGAGACUGACUAAAUUCUGAACAUGUUCUAUGUAAGAGAAAUAGCAUGUUGAUUUCAUCUUGAAAUGAUCAUAGCUGAGGGACGAGGUUCGUAACUGAGGGUCAUGUGCAGAGCUGGAGGAAGAAGUUGCGAGGCAUGGAACUCUUCUUGUGAAGGGCUCAGGGACAGCAGUGAGGACAAUGCCUCUUUAGUUGUAAUUGUGAUACUCCUGAUGUGCAAGUAAACACUCUUGUGAUACUCCUUAUACUAAAAUGUUGGUUGUUAAUACAGUGGUGGUGACAUUAUUUGGUUCCCUGGUAUUGAUUUCAUGAUUUUUGGUUAAUACAUGAUGUAAUACAAUCCACAUUGCAUUAUAUUUCCAGUUACAUCUCCUACUUACUCACUACUAACAUUUUUUCUAAUUCGCUCCUUGCGCCAUGUGCGCAACCGGGUCAUCUAGUAGACUUUUAAAGAACGCACAGGUAGACUCGCAACGAGUAGACUGCUAGUAAAUGUUAGGGUUAUAAUAUAGGUCAUCUACCCCUUUGUAUUUAUCCCGUUGUAUAAGGGGUUUCCUGCAUAUGUUCCACACCUGUACAUGUAUAUAUAUCGGCCUAUGGCCUCAUGGGAAUACAAGUUGCUUAUUCCUAACAUGGUAUUAGAGCUCUAGGGUUUCUUUUCGCACGCCGCAACUCGUGCUCGAUCCCGUCGUGACGGCCGCCAUUGCUCUGAUCCGCUGCCCCGGCCUGAAGCGUCCACGCCCGACGGCCUCCUCAACACGCGCCGGGGCGCUGCUCCUUCUGGACGCCACAGCCGCCGUGCGGUCUUCCGCCCGUCCCCAGCCCCGGCUCGUGGUCUCCCGCACGUCACAGCCCCCAGCCCCGGUCUCCCGCCUGCUCGUGGUCUCCCGCCAGCCCCGGUCUCCCGCCUGCUCGUGGCUCCCGCCAGCCACCCGGUCUCCCGCUAGUCUGGUGUCGUCCAGUGCUCUGCUGAUUUCGGGUCUCGUGAUCGACUGCCUGCUGUCCGGUGCUCUGCUAAUUUCGGGUCUCGGAUUCUGCUGAUUUCGGGUCUCUGCUAAAAAAAUGUCUGCUGCAUCGGGCUAUGUUGCUGUCCCUCGCUGUCCGGUGAUCUUCGAUGGUACUAACUACACCGAGUUCGCUGGCUUCAUGCGCAUUCAUAUGCGUGGCAUCCGUCUCUGGGGUGUUCUUUCUGGCGAGGUCUGCUGUCCGCCACGUCCGGUUCCUCCGGUGGCCCCUACUCCGCCGACUCCACUGGUUCUUCCUACGGAUGCUAAUCAGGCCGCCAAGGAUGCGGCUAAGAUUGCUGAUGAGGCUGCUGAUCGUGCCUAUGAUGAGAGGGUUUUGGCUUAUGAGGAGGCUCUUCAGACGUAUCAUGGUGCUUUGUCUGUUUACACCCAGUGGCUUGAUGAUGAUGCUCGUGCUGCAGCUGUUCUCACUGCUAGUGUUCUGCCUCAAUUUGCUUCUGAGUUUUUGGGUCUUCCUACUGUCUUCCAGAUGUGGACCUGUCUUCGUCAGCGCUAUGAGCCCUCUGGUGAUGCCUUAUACCUUUCUGUGGUUCGUCAGGAGCAUGCUCUUCAGCAGGGUGACUCUACUGUUGAUGACUUUUAUGCACAGAGUUCUGCUAUCUGGCGCCAGCUUGAUUCUCUCUGCAGUGCUGGUUGUCGUACUUGCCCCUGCUGCCAGGCUGUCCAGGCCGAUUUGGAGUUUCAUCGCGUCUACGAGUUCCUGUCUCGGCUCCGUAAGGAGUUUGAGCCCCGGCGUGCUCAGUUGUUUGCUCGUGGCCGUAUUUCUCUCAUGGAGGCGCUUUCAGAGAUUCGUGCUGAGGAGACUCGCCUACGUGGUGUUGGUUUGCUGGAGGUUCCCUCUGUGCUCGCUACUCGGGCUUCUUCCACUCCACCUGCUGCACCGCCCCAUUCUCGCUCGAGUGCUCCGCCGCUCUUGCCCACUCCUUCUGGAGGCUCAGGUCGCCCCCGUCCACAUUGUGACUACUGCAACAAUGAUGGUCAUAUUGAGUCCCAGUGCUACACAAAGCGGAAACACCUGCGCAAGGCGCGAUCAUCCUCCUCAGGGACUUCGUCAUCUCCCUCGCCAGCUUCAGCCAUUGCUUUGACUGAGCAGGAUAUUCUGAGACUUCAGCGUUUGCUCGCGGCUUCAGGUUCUUCCUCGACGGGUACUGCUGGUUCUGUGACUGAUGCUUCCCGCACUGAGCACUCGCCCUCUACACAUUCAGGUACAUCCCCAUGGGUUCUGGACUCUGGAGCUUCUUUUCAUAUGUCUUCUCAUUCUUCCGCUUUGUCCUCUCUUCGAUCGCUGGAUUCUCCUGUUCAUGUCUUCACUGCUGAUGGUACUCCACUUUCUGUUGCUAGUAGAGGCCAUCUUUCCACUCCUUCUUAUUCUGUUCCUGAUGUUGCUCAUGUUCCUUGACUUACCAUGAAUCUGUUUUCUGCCGGUCAACUUACUGAUUCUGGUUGUCGUGUCAUCCUUGAUGUUGACUCUUGUUCUGUCCAGGAUCGUCGCACGCACACUCUGGUUGGGGCUGGCCCUCGCCGCCGUGAUUCUCAGGGUCUUUGGGAGUUGGACUGGCUUCAUGUUCCUUCCGCUGCCACCACCAUCGCCCGUCCCUCCGCUGUUGUCGCCUUUGUUACUGGUUCCUUCAAGCAGUGGCAUCAUCGACUUGGUCAUCUGUGUGGUUCUCGGUUAUCGUCUUUAGUUCGUCGAGGUCUUCUGGGGUCUGUCUCAGGAGAUGUCUCUUUAGAGUGUCAGGGUUGUCGUCUUGGCAAGCAGAUUCAGUUACCAUAUUCACAUAGUGAGUCAGUGUCUAAGCGUCCUUUCGAUUUAGUCCAUUCUGAUGUAUGGGGUCCGGCUCCUUUCGCUUCGAAAGGUGGUUAUAAAUACUAUAUUAUUUUCAUCGAUGAUUUUUCUCGUUACACAUGGUUUUAUUUCAUGACUUCACGUAGUGAGGUGUUGUCUAUUUAUAAGCGUUUUGCUGCCAUGGUUCAUACUCAGUUCUCUUCACCCAUUCGUGUUUUUCGUGCUGACUCCGCUGGCGAGUAUAUCUCUAAGAUGUUGUGUGGUGUUCUUGCUGAGCAGGGUACUCUUGCCCAGUUCUCUUGUCCUGGUGCUCAUGCUCAGAAUGGCGUGUCUGAGCGCAAGCAUCGUCACCUUCUUGAGACGGCUCGUGCUAUGAUGAUCGCCGCCUCUCUUCCGCCUCAUUUUUGGGCCGAGGCUAUCUCCACUUCCGCCUAUCUCAUCAACCUUCAGCCGUCCGCUGCUUUGCAGGGUGGUGUUCCUUUUGAGCGUCUUUUUGAUCGUUCUCCCGAUUAUUCGAUGCUUCGCUUGUUUGGUUGUGUUUGCUAUGUUCUUCUUGCCCCUCGCGAACGCACCAAACUGACCGCUCAGUCUGUUGAGUGUGUCUUCUUAGGCUACAGUGAUGAGCAUAAGGGCUAUCGUUGUUGGGAUCCUAUCGGUCGUCGGAUGCGUAUCUCUCGAGACGUGACUUUUGAUGAGUCUCGUCCUUUCUACCCACGCCCAUCUUCCUCGUUUUUUUUAGUGGAUGAUAUCUCUUUCCUCACUUUUCCUGACUCACCUAUCACCCCCGUCGCGCCUGUGCCUAUUCGUUCCACUCCCUCUACUUCUCCACCCCUCGUCGAUUCGCCGCCACCAUCUUCCCCGGUCUCCUCACCUAGCAUGUCACCGGAUUCUACACCUUCAUCUCCGGUGACUUCUUCGUCGCCACCCCCCGAUUCUACCUUGGCGAUUCCUCCUUCUCUUGUUCCAUCUUUUCCUCAGCAUUACACUCGUCGUUCACGACCUGUGGAUGCUUCCUUGGAUGAGUCGUCCUCUUCCUCUCAGCCUACUUAUGGCUUGCGUUCUCGUCCUCGUCCGCCUAUUGAUCGCUUUGGAUUUCCCACUGCUGGUGCUGCUGUUCUUGAGCCGACUUCUUAUCGUCAGGUUGUUGUUCAUCCUGAAUGGCAGUUUGCGAUGGCAGAGGAGAUUGCUUCUCUUGAACGCACUGGUACCUGGGAUCUUGUUUCUCUUCCUCCCGGAGUCCGUCGCAUCACUUGUAAGUGGGUCUACAAGGUUAAGACUCGCUCCGAUGGUUCUCUUGAGCGUCACAAAGCUCGUCUCGUGGCUCGUGGUUUUCAGCAGGAGCAUGGUCGUGAUUAUGACGAGACUUUUGCUCCUGUGGCCCAUAUGACCACUAUUCGUACACUUCUUGCCGUUGCCUCUGCACGCCACUGGUCUAUAUCUCAGCUUGAUGUUAAGAAUGCCUUUCUUAAUGGUGAGCUGCGUGAGGAGGUGUACAUGCAGCCACCACCUGGGUAUUCUGUUCCUGAUGGCAUGGUGUGUCGUCUUCGUCGCUCUCUCUAUGGCCUUAAGCAAGCCCCUCGCGCCUGGUUUGAGCGUUUUGCCUCUGUGGUCACUACUGCUGGUUUUUCAGCAAGUGCUCAUGAUCCAGCAUUGUUUAUUCACCUUUCUCCUCGUGGCCGGACUCUUCUUCUUCUCUAUGUUGAUGAUAUGGUCAUCACUGGGGAUGACCCCGAGUAUAUUGCCUUUGUAAAGGCCCGUCUUAGUGAGCAGUUUCUUAUGUCUGAUCUUGGACCUCUUUGCUACUUUCUUGGGAUUGAAGUCUCUUCUACCUCUGAUGGCUUUUUUAUAUCCCAGGAAAAGUAUAUCCAGGAUCUUCUUGCUCGUGCUGCUCUUACUGACGAGCGCAUUGUUGAGACUCCUAUGGAGCUCAAUGUUCACCUCCUUGCUACUGAUGGUGAUCCUCUCCCUGACCCGACGCGUUAUCGUCAUCUUGUUGGCAGUCUUGUCUAUCUAGCUGUCACUCGUCCGGACAUCUCUUAUCCGGUUCAUAUUCUGAGUCAGUUUGUCUCUGCUCCCACAUCGGUUCACUAUAGUCAUCUCCUUCGUGUUCUCCGAUAUCUUCGGGGCACGAUCUCUCACCGUCUAUUCUUUCCUAGCUCCAGUUCUUUACAGCUUCAGGCCUAUGCGGAUGCUACAUGGGCUAGUGAUCCUUCUGAUCGCCGUUCACUUUCUGCUUACUGUGUUUUUCUUGGCGGUUCUCUCAUUGCCUGGAAGACGAAGAAACAGAUUGCAGUUUCCCGUUCGAGUGCUGAGGCUGAGUUGCGAGCCAUGGCUCUUUUGACGGCAGAGGUGACUUGGUUACGGUGGUUACUUCAGGAUUUUGGCGUUUCUGUCACUACACCGACUCUGCUCUUAUCUGACAGUACAGGUGCUAUUAGCAUUACGCGCGAUCCUGUGAAGCAUGAGCUCACCAAGCAUAUUGGUGUUGAUGCUUUCUAUGUGCGCGCUGCUGUGCAGGAUCAGGUUAUUGCUCUUCAGUAUGUGCCUCCGAGUUACAGUUGGCAGAUUUCCUGACGAAGGCCCAGACUAGAGCACAACAUGGCUUUUAUCUCUCCAAACUCAGUGUUGUUCCUCCACCAUGAGUUUGAAGGGGGGUGUUAGAGUUAUAAUAUAGAUCAUGUACCCCUUUGUAUUUAUCCCGUUGUAUAAGGGGUUUUCUGUAUAUGUUCCACACCUGUACAUGUAUAUAUAUCGGUCUAUGGCCUUACGGGAAUACAAGUUGCUUAUUCCUAACAGUAAAUACCAAUUAUAAAUAGAAUAAUAGAUUAGUAACAGUCAAAGACAAGGGGCGCAAUUCAAGCAUGGAAUUCUUGUGGCAUACGACCUUAUGACAAACCUCCAUGACAACGGAGGCAAAACUCUCCAUUCCAGUAGACCGUGUUGCAACAGGGCGUGCCAUACAUCAGAGCUGUUGGCCAUGAUUCUGACGGUAGUGUAGAUUGAGCCAUCGCACGCGGUUCAAAACCCCUUUUGCUGAUACAGUUUUGAGCUCGCGCCUUGCAACGGUGUGCGAACGCCGGGGACGUGUGGGAUUGUAAUUGUUCAUGAGACGCAGACGGAGCAUCAAGGUUAAACGUUUGCGAAAUGAUGGCUCGAUCAUCGGGCAAAACCCCAGUCGCCUGAGAUAUUCAUGCGCCUCAGUUGGGCAAAAGGAGAGGUUACAUGCAGGUUAAUUCAGGUACUCUGCCCACAUAAUCAACUGUUCUUGUGCAUUUCAGAGAGAGAGAAAGACUGUUCUCAUGGGACAAGCAGUCAUUUCUCUUCGUUUAAAUCCCCCUUAGCUCGCUUUACAUCGCCAGUGCACCAGACGGUUUAUUACCGGCCGAUAUUGACAAGUGAGGCCUCACAAUCAAGCAGUAUAUAAAUACAAAUAAAUAUACGUGACGCGCAUCCUAUACAGCAACACUAUGCACACUUCACUGUACAACACACCACGCCUCUUCUCGGGCCGUCGUCAGUCCGAGCCGCCCCCGCCGCAGCACAGCUCCGAGCAGCACUCGAAGCAGCCGAGGAAGGAGAGGGCGGCGCACAUCUGCACCAGCACGAUGGCGCACCGGUCGUUCAUCUUGCUGCAGCAGUUGAUGAAGCACAUGCAGCAGCAGCAGCUGUCCGCCACGCGGCCGCAGCAGCCGCCGACCGCCUUCCCGAACAUCUCGAAUUUAUCCGGCGCCCUUGUGUCACCGAACCCCGAGGUUAGGUUCUCCGUCGUCGCCGGCACGUUGCCGAAGCCGAGUGUCAGGCCCUGCAGCGGUGUCGCUGAAGGCUCCUCUGGUUUCUUUGGUUUCCGUUUUCCCUGCAUAAGGGCAGCAGCAAGCUUGAUCACACGUUCUCUGAACUUUCUUUGAAGACACUAGAAUGUCUGAAGAAUUGCGUUAAUAGGCAAUGCAGUAUUACUGAGUUCUAAGCGAGACCUGCUCCGUUUGUUUUCUAGAUCGAAUUUAAUCUUUGAUUAUUCUGAGUUGGCAAUAUCAACCGAGACAUAAUGAAGAAGGAUGAAUCUGUUUGGACAAUAUGAUUACCUGUUGUGCUGGAUCUAUUUUUUCCAUGAUGGUUUGAAGUAGGACCGUCCGUGUGUACUCCGAAGGAAUGCCAUUUUGUAUGCUCAUUUUCGCCACCUGUUUGUUCAAAUAAUGUGAGCGCUGGAGCAGAUUUUAGAAACAAUGUUAUUCAUUAAGGUGAAUAUUCCAACUUUAAGCUUCCGGGCACAUCGCAAAAGAUAAUUUCAAGCAAGGAUAUAAACUUUGAUUGCAGUAAAAAGAACGAAAUGACUUCCGCAGAGAAAAGAAAGUUUGAUGUCCUAGAAUAUGCAAGAGUAUGCCGCGCCUUACAUAGAGCUGCUUUGAGUUCAUCUUGCUUUCCUACAUGCUCCCACUCACCCACUUCUCAAUUCAAAAUACCUUCCUGAAGUAGACUGGCUUUUAACCCAAAACCCACCCCCACCUGCUCAAUUUUAGGCAGAAAACUCCCAAUCUCAGUAAAUUCUCUUUGAUUUCUCGUCUUACCUGCCGACCUCUGGCGAGAUUCCGGCAACAAUUUUUAGGGCAAGGGAUAUCGCUUAGUGACUUGUAGUGCUCAACUAGCACUAGGGCUCUGCUUCGACUCUGACACAACUGAGUCACAUAUCCCUAUUUCUUUAAUCCGGCUACACUGCUGUAGUAACCAAACUGGACUCUAACUGUGCUUUUUUUUUAGAAAAGGAGGAUGACCCCCUGCCUCUGCAUCUGGGCGAUGCAUACGGCCACUCUAACUGUGCUAAUAACAUCACAACACUACAAGUACGCGAUAACCAUGUCUUGUGUUUAGUCAUCCUCUCACAUUUUGCUAUAAUUUAUUCUCUAAUCUUGACAUCGAGUUCAGUGCAGUGGAGUACCCUUAAAGUAACCACUUGAACAUUGUCAUAUCAAGUUAAUACCUAACACUAACAGGCAGAGCUUAAUUUAAGAAUGUGAAGACAGAAUCAGAUGUGAUGAGAGGUAUUAGCCCAGAAUAUACGUUACCAUUUGCUCCAGUUGCUUGUUUUCAGAAAGCCAUGCUUUUGCUGUUAGAAGGUCCAUCUGUUGCUUUGCCAACACCUGAAUUUGAAAAUAAAAUGGAUUAUAAAAUUUUGAGUAAUCUUUCACAUAAUAUUUCCGAGUUACUACCCUCAACAACAAUUCCACAAGCUUACUAUUCGACGCACACUUAGAGCACAUGUUGAGCUCAACGGCUCUGUAAUCUUGUUAGGACAACAAUGGUUCUAAAUUCUUAUAUGCAACUAUUGUUUUCAAGUCAGACAAGUCGAGCCAAGGCACCACCCAACUGGCUAAGUGACUAGUCAACCACCAGUCAGUGCUACAAGGAUUACGAGUUGACGAGUCGAGCCGUGUCUCCAGGAUACCAACUCAUGGACUAGCCGCAGACUCGCAGUACUGGAUAGUCGUAACUAGUCACAGCUAGUCGAGGUAUUCAGUUGGCAGGCAAGUGCUGACUUAGACUAGUCGACCGACUGUUAUUGCCUAAUAGUCAGGGAGUUCAGGCCAGCAGGAGGUUUCAAGUCACGUAGUGUUGCCUAGGAUUACUUUUAGUCGGACAUAUAUUUUGGGGUUUCUAACUGACAACUCGACUACUAGUCGGAGGCUCGGAGCUAGCUGGUAAACCAGCCGACGAGUCAUUUUGACUUCAUCUGCUAGCCGAGUCGGUUUGGCAAAACUAGCUAGGUGAAUAAUAGCGGACCAGUCAUCGAUUUAAAAACAAUGCUAAUGUCUAGUUUUUGUCGCCCUCUCCUUGUGUCUGGUCAUUGCGACGAUAAACAAUGGUCUUGGUGCACAAAGUGAAGGGUGACAUAUUUUAUUUAAUUGAUUGCUAUGCCAUUCACUCCAUGGACAGUAAAUCCUUUCAAAAAAUCCAUGGUCAGUAAAUACUUCCAGAGAUGUUCCAGACAAAUUUUACCAUUUUGGUAAGCUGACGUGAUAUCUCGUUAUUAUAACUGCCAGUUGGGGUCAACAAGAUGCUUUAGAUUGCAUAUGCAAGUAACUACCGGAGUUUCUCGUUCGUAAAAAAGAACUACUGAAGUUCCUCAGCUAUUAGAACAAAGUGUGAAAAACUUACUUUGUCAAGAGGUAUGUCCUUUAUAUGUUGGACCUUCAAUUCAAUCGAUAUCUUACUCAUGUCAGACAAAUAGCCCUCAGCAUAAAGAGUCUCCGGCAGUUCACCUCGGAAUCUUCCAGAUACAAAUAAUGGAUAUUUUGCUGAAAUGUCAGGAAUAUAUUCACAAUCCACCUGAAUGGGGAAAAGGUUCAAUUGUAAGAGACAUGGAUGAUCCAGCUAUGCUUAUAUGAAGAAAGAAAGAUAGAUGGUCUUAAAUACCAAAUACCAACCAUCCACGCCUUUAUAUCAGAAGAAAAUGAGCAAAUGCAGGAGGGCAUUUAUUUCAUAAAAUUAAAGAUGCAACAUGCUGUUGAGUGCUCCCAAAAUAAGCAGUCAACUGAAUACCCCAAAACACAGAAGCACUUUAUGCCCCCUCACUCUCCCUAUCUCCCUCUCCACUCAGCAUUUACACACAACUUACUACAAAGUGUUUUACUAAUAGUACAUGCAUAUGUCACCACAAGAUUAAUAAUAAAUGACUGUCACAUGUUGCUUUUUUGUGACAUACUGACAUGGCUAAAAGGUGACAGCCCGACAGGUUUGCUGGGAUAGAACUCACUUCAAAUUCUUGGGUAUGCUUUGUGACAUCAAUUGAAAUGUCUGCCACGAUUGUGGAUGAAGCUUUCUGGAACCAUUGAAGUAUUCGACCCUCAAUUGAUCCUGGUGUCAAAAAUCAGAAUGAAAAACUUCAGUUUUGCAAAGUAUAGCAUUGGACUUUAGAAAAAACCCUGCAAAUUCUAGUACAACCAAGACACUUAUAAACAAUUAAGUUUACUGCACAUCAGAGAUGCUGGAUGAAAUAGAAAAAAACAAAUAAGUCAAAACUUGUGCUUUAUAAAAAGCCAUAGAACUAAUUUGCCAACUUACUAAAUCAUAUGAUUCCAUAAUGCAACAUGCUGUUGAGUGCAAAACUGAACAGGAACAAAAUGAUUCCAUACACCUUUAAAUCAUCUCAUCAAAUUCCAGUCUCUGCUCAGCAUGAAUUCUAAUAAGUUUGUACAAUCAAUAUGCACGUCAAGUUUUUUGGUUUGACUAGAAAUAAUGGUGAAGGGCCCUAAUGAAAAUGAUCUUAUUAACAAAGUAAGAAUGUGUGCAAGGAGAGGAAUCACAAUGUACACAGUUUUUUUUUUGCGAGAAUCACAGUGUACACAGUUUAUAAACCGAAAACCUAAGUUGGGAACAACAACAAAACCUGUAGUCCCAAACAAGUUGGGGUCGGCUAGAGCUGAAAUCCGUAAGAUUGUCCUAGCCGGAACUUGCCAAAGUUGGAUCAUUAGAGCAUAAUGCAGAGUUUUGAGUUUCAGUAGUGCGUAGAACAAAACACUGCCUGGUUCGAGGAUUAAGGGGGCAAUUUGUUCGUACCUGUAUCAAACGCAGCAUCGUAAUGCCCCUUGCCAAUUGAUGCCAACAUCCGCAAGAAAUAGUGGUUACAGUAUGAACCUAAUAUUGUUUCAAAGGGUAAGUACAAAUAAUAAAAAACUAUUUCGGGGUAAAAAAAUUGGCAAUCAUACAAGUAAAAUAAAAUAUUGAUGUCUCCAAUAUCAUCCCUCUUUACUGAACAAACUUGAGUAAUCCAAAAGGAUUUACACAUAAGAAUGGAUACGUAAGAGAAUGAAGUUAGAUGUAUUUUUAACAUGGGAAUGAAUAACUUUCAAUGGUGCAACCCCUGACGUUCGUCGCCUCCUACAUGUCAUUCAAGACGAGUGCCGGGCCUGGUCCGGGGCGGGUGCCCUGGGAUUGCUCAAUCUGAUCCCAGGAUAGUACUUGUGUGUGUGUUGUUUUGGGUGUCCACAAAAUCAAACAGUUGUUUCCUUUCAGUAUAUCUUAGAGCAAUAUGUUAAGUCGUAAAUAAGAAAAAUCAUAUUUGCUAUUACCUAGUCCAAAAGUGGAAAUCCGAGGGGAAAUAGAUCCUUUGUUUGUGAGCUGAGUUUUCACAGUGCGACAGAUAUUCCGUUCAUCCUCAACUGAACCAUCGGUCACAAGAAAGAUUUGUGGAAGUGCGCCAUCAGAGUUUGACAGCAACGCCAAUGCCUUACAGCAUGAGAGAUAAUGUGAGCACUGAAGGUGGCAUGAAUCAUAUAUAAAUGUCAACUGGUAUAGUUUUCCAAAUAUUGUACCUCGGUUAAAGGAUGCAUGAUGUCAGUGCCACCCUGGGCGACGAAAUUUAAGUUCAUCCAGUUUAUUGCAUUCUCUGUUGUUUUGCCAUUUACUUUCUCCAAACAGGAUGAGAAUGAAUGAAGUUCAUCAUUAAAUGUUACUAUGUUGAAGUAAUCUCCUUCCUCAAGCUCAGAAACAGCAGUUGAGAUGGCAUUCUUAACAUUCUCAAUAGGCUUUCCUUGCAUGCUUCCACUUGUAUCAACAAUAAACACAACUGCCUUUCUGAAGAUCUAUCACAUAACUCGAAUGAGAUAAAUAUCCAUUCACAGAAAUAAUUUAUGAAGCACAAAAGCAGAUAAAAAAUAUUGUGUCAUGUUGAAUUAGAGCUACUCAUGAGAAACUUAGUCAAGUACCUUAAAUACUUUCAGUGAGUUACAAACUUUAAGUAAAGAUGUUUCAGUAAAGUUAUCUUCAAGCAUCAAGUGAUUUUUGCACUGACAUAGUUUAGUUACUAGUGUCGAGAUAACAAGACAAUAAGUAAAAGGAACUACCUUCCUUUUCUGGUUAUUUCCAGGUAAGAGAAAAAUGCUGAAAAUGUCUCUGUCAUCAUAGUCACGUAAUGUUGAGCGCUGCACAAGCACUCCACCGGACACAUCACCUGAGUAAACCUACAGACAUGAACGAUGCAUUAGGUAAUGACACUGAUCUCAAUGGCACCCAUGCAGUAAAAGCUGUAGUCACCAUGUUAACAAAAGUUAUUAAUUAAAUAAAGUGUUUAUUGGAAAAGGUUGGUCCUUCAACCCUAAAAUCUGAAUCUGUAUGAUUUGGGACCUCAAACAAAUGGAGAGGGCCCACACUCAUUGGCAGGAGUCUCAUCGGACCGCACUCAGAAAAGACAGCACCGUGCAGUCUCGCCUACUGAUGUGGCAGUGAUGUGGCCCACUCCCUGUAUUUGUUUGGUACAAUGUUUUCCUUCGUUGCAUUCUUAUAGCAUGCUCAUGGUUUUUGAGUCGCUGUAUAGUCGCCGACUAAUCGCCAAGUCGUUUUCCAAAAAUCAGGGCGACUCGCGACUAUACAGCAACUUAUGGCGACUAUACAGCGACUUUCGUCGACUAUACGCCGAGCCGCAGGGCUCGCGGCGACUCGCCAAGUCGCGACUCAAAAACCUUGAGCAUGCUAAUGACUGAACUACUAAUAUUAAGGUAUUAUUAUGUCGUGUACUUGGGUUAGGAAGACUGGAAGAGGCUCUCGCCCCUGGAUGCAAGAUAGAAGAACUGUUCUUCUAGAUCUUGCUUGCUUUACUCCUCACAGGGGGUCCUCUUUACAUAGAGGUCUAACAAUCCAAUCUAAGUAACAAAUCACAGAUAUUAUCUCCAAUUGGUUUGAGUCCCAAGCUAAAAAAUAUAUUCCUAAUUUAAAUGAUAAACUUUGUAACUCAGAGAUCAAGGGGAUCCUCUCCCUAACUCGCUGCUGGAUGGGCCAUGUACUAUAUAAAUUCAUAUUUGAACACAUAGCCCACAUAUUGCUUUCAAUAUUCGCAUAUGAAAGGCCGUGGAACAUAAUGAGCACAAAAUUAUUUUAGAAGUACCGAAGAGAAGGUAAAGUUAACCAAAUAAAUAGAUUACUGGAGAAUAACUUACACUAUAUGAAAAGGUGAAAUCUUUGAUAGACCAAUUCUCAACCACAGCUUCAUGCAAGAAAAACAAUUUCUCACCCUGCCUGGUUUUUUCCUGAAAAUGCACAAGAACAUCUCAUGAUAACCAUGACAUCGGACAGAUUACCAAAUGGUGCUUACGAAAAAGUUAAUUACCUUCAAGGGAUGGCUGGUCCCCUGCAAUAAAACCUCUUUACUCACACCACUAUUCACAGUUAACUGAAUUUUCUCCUUUUUUGUGAAAAGUUUAGGUAAAGGGUUCACAUAAUGUGGAAACCGAAACGGAAUAUCAACAGAAAACUGUCCAUUAUCAUACAACAACUUCUGUGACCAUCUAAUUGUGGCAAAGAUGUCUUCUCCUCCUACAACCUUGGCGCAAUGAAAGAAAAUAGUUAGCACAGGCAGAUAUGGCUGCUGAAAGCUUGAAUCUUGACAAGCUAGCAGUUGGGAAACUGAUGACUACAAAAUAAGUACCUGUGGUAUUGUCAAUUGAAAAAACUGGCUCUUCAGAAUACCACCACUCUCAGUUUUAACAAUCUUCACAGGACUGUUACCAUCUACAUCAACUACAUGAGUAUUGUACGAUUUUUUCCCAACAGUAACCUCAGCGCCUAGAAUUGAACCCUGUUAGCCAAACUGUUAUUCUUAGACUGAGAUCACCAGUAAAUCAAAAAAAUAACUGCAUUCCGGAUAUAUACACAUAUGCAUUAAGAAAUAUUGCAACAUAAAACAGAAUAGCAAGUGUAUGUUUGCUUUUUAAAAUGCAUACAGUGAUGACUGACAUCACUUGCACUGUUUGCAUUCAAUGUUGACUAGAGAAGUAGUAGAGGUUCUGUUUCGUUGUUGUAAACAUCAAGUUGUUAAGUGAUGAAUAUGUCACCACCAUUGUGGUGGUGUAGUUAUCUGGCUAUUCUAACUAAUAUUACACUGUGGUCGUGAUUUAGUUAGCAUGGUGUUAAUAAACAUAGGUCGUAGUAGCAAUGACCAACACACAAGUGAUGCAGUUACCAACGUGUUCUAGUAAACAAUAACCAUUAUAGAUGUGCGUUCUUACCAAUUUAUUCAAUUCAAAUUAGCAAACAAAUUUGAUCAUUGCAUUUGCCCAUCAUGGUAGGGUUACCAGAAAUGCUACAAUGACUAUUGACUACUCAUGAUUUGAUGACUACUCGCAAUGCUCAACAUGACUUGUUGAACUGCUAUUCUUUUCUCACUGUUUAUGCACAUAUUUCCAGGUGAUUUCCACCCUUGUAUUCAUGGCCGCAUGGACAACAUCUCAAUAUGUAUUCAGUACUAUGUAACUUCAUAAAGAACAUAAUUUUUUUGUGAAUAUUUCUUUAGGAGAGCCUCUGCUGUAACCUGGAACAGAUUAGGAAUAUCAAACAUGUAGCAUGACUGCUUCCUAAUAUCUUGUCGCCACGCUCUUAUCUAAGACGCCAUAUUUUUUAUGUUCAUAUGCAGCAGAAAUGGAGCAUGUUUGAAGUUCCAUGGUUGUUUGAGAGACAAAUGAUGCGUCAGUAACGGGCAUACCUAAACCGAAUUACAAUCCAGAAUACCAGUCUGAUCAAUGUGUUCAGUAAAAUAGCUAAAUUAUCAGAUAGACCAAGGAAAAAUAAGGCAAAAUUGAGAGCCGAUACGGGAUGCGGGCUGAAAGGUUGGGGCACUUCAUGUUGUCAAGUGGGACAGAUGUUAGUGGGCAGGUGGCCAAAACAGAGGAGACGCAGGAGAAUACAGUCAUGCAUUAAGCCUGUUGCGCAUGCUGUCACGCCCUAUUUGUGCCUAAGUUCAAUAAAUCAAAUAACAGAAACCUGAAAAAUAGAUAGAAAUCAAGCUUCCAUGAACUGCUCUCAGCCUCUCACUUCUGAGCUUAGACUAAAGUCUUUGCCAACUUACACCCAAAUGCAACCAAAACAACAGAACCCUAAAGCAUUUAGUAAACCUGAACAUAAAAAACAAAGACCUAGACCAUACAAAUGCACUACUUAAUAUGCCAUUCAACUUACAUUUCUCCAAAACAGCUGAAAGGAAUGUUCUGUUUGGGCCACCGGAAGAUAUUUGACUACCACGAACGGAAAUGACAAGUUAAAAAACAAUGCACUUCCUAAAAAUAGUAUGCCUGUACCAACUAAAGCAUUUAGUGGACAAGUGUACAAACUACAAGCAGAGUUAUCCCUAGAAAGUCGGGUUACUUUCCUAGUCCAAACGGAAUAUUUCUUUCUUGAUGAAGCUUAUUUCCAUGAUUGGUAAGCAAGGAAUUGGCCUCGCUUGCUUCCAAAACAACGAUGGAGCCCACAGCCAGCAGAGAGCUAGCUGCGUUCAAGAGCAAAGAGCUCCAAACGUAAUCGUCUAUAACGGCAACCCCAAUGUUCCACCAAUCAUAACUAUAAUGUAUAGUGACGCGCAUUCGCAAGUGGCUGGCUCCAUGUGCGGUCCAGCGCAAAUGAUUUAUGCGCACAGCAAAAUUCAUGGGCCCCAACCACCUAAAGCAAAGCCAAAUUAACUAGAGAAUAACCGCAAACUUUAUCGGCAUAAUCAUUCCAGCGCGUAACGGCAACAAAAUCAGGCACAGCAAAUUCCAAUCGACGGCGAAAUAGCAAAGGGGGAGGGCGGAGGGUUCGAAUCGGGUCACCUCCUCGCCCAUGGGCACGACGAGGCGGCAGUCGCAGUCGCGGCUGCGGGUGAGGCAGUGCAGCCACCAGCGCGCGACGAGGGUGACCUCGGCCGUGGCGCACCCGGCGGCGCAGUCCACCCGCAGCUCGACCUCGCGCAUCUGGAGCGGGAUGAGCGCGGGCGGGCUGAGCCGGCCGUAGACGUGGGGCUGGUAGCUGGGCACGUCGGGGCUGUCGACGGCGGCGGGGUCCGUGACGACCGCGUACGCCAUGGGGGCCACGGGCAGCAGCGACGACGCCGCGGCGGCGUCCGGCGCGCCGUAGCGGUCCAUCCCGGCGUGCGGGCGCGGCGGGGCCGCACCGCCCGGGAGGACGAGCCGCUUGGAGAGCCUGAGGCCGUCCUCCACCGCGCGCUCGAAGUCCUCCUCCAUGGCUGCUGCUGGAGGCCUGAAGCGGGGGAGAGGAGGAGGCGGUGGAAAUUAAUGGCUGGGGAUUCGUGGACAAGUGGGCGGAAGUGGGAGGGGGCUCGGUUUUUGGUGUGGUUUAGUGGGGAAAUCAUGAGCUGUUGGGGUGGAAGACGAGCCAGAUAGCGGGGGCAGCUCCGCUGCUGUGCCUCGCGGAGGUGAGAUUACCGGGGGUGUCCGUUUGUCUCUCUCAACUUGUGCUGUGGUUUGCAGGGACUGGACGGUUAUUUGUCUUGUUUUUUCCGUUUGUCUUCGUGGUUUCUGAUGCCUGGUAGUGGAGUAUAAAUUCGAUUAUCUUUAGCUUUAACCUUUUUUGGGGAAAAUUAACCUUUAAUCUUACAUAUGUCAUAUACACUAUUAAUCACAGGAGAGUUGGUCAUGACAAAUGAUUGACUCAUUGUUGUGGUAGAAAAGCAUGCCUAGUUUGUAGCGAAAAUUGCUUUUCGAGCUCGCCCUCCAUGGUGGCCGGUUUUAAAAAAAAUCAAAAUUCAACAAAAUUUAUGUUUUUAUUUGUCAUGAAUGGAGGCAUAAACACACAUGUGUGUAAGUUUUCAUAACGAAAUACGUUGAAAUGAGGGUUGUGUAAAAAAGACAAGUUUGUGACUUUUCAGCACAUGAUACUAUUCAUCCCAAAAGUCCAUGAAUUUGUUCUUUUUGCGUAGAUCGCAUCUCAAGGUAUUUCAUUAUGAGAUUUUACACACAUACACAUCACAUUCUUAUAUAUUUGUAUAAAUUUUUUCAGGGUUUUUUGAAACACCAAAAAGUAUGAAUUUUGAUUUAUUUUUUCAAAAAAUUCGGCCUCCAUGGAGGCCGAGUUCCAAAAUGCCGUUCUCUGUUUGUAGUAUAUAUAAACAUGAUUUUUGUGAUACAGAGUUCCUUUUUCAUAAAUAUUUGUCGAGCUAUGUUUGUGUGGGACUUAAUUUCGAACAUCUUGUCAUGAGAUACACAGUGAUGAAAUCAAAUUUUGAUUUGGACAAUCGUGCUGAAAGAAAUAUGAUUUUAAAAUUUCAUAAUGGAUUUGCAUGUUAUUGAUCGUCAUCUGUUUUGGCUCUAUGCUAUUUUCCUUAUUUUGACAUGUGAAGACAGAUGGGAAUCACACUGGCAUCUCUACCCACAUACUAUAUUUAAUACUCCCUCCGUCUUAAAAUAAGUGACUCAACUUUGUACUAAAGCUAGUACAAAGUUGAGUCACUUAUUUAGUACAAAGUUGAGUCUAUUUAGUAUAAAGUUGAGUCACUUAUUUUGGGACGGAGGGAGUACUAAAAAGAGAAAAAUACUUCCUCCUUUUCAUCAUUCGUCAGCCGUUGGUUUGCACACAUAAACCCAACAACAUAGCACACACAUGGUCACCAAGACCAUGCACCACACAUGACGCAACACCAACAUGCACACGAAGCAAUAACAACAACCAAAAAAUGUGAAAGACCUAAGCACACACGAGAGGCUAGGGCGCGCGACCAAGAGAGUGAGAUGAGGCAACCGAUUGCUCAUUGUCUUGCAGUUGGUGUGGAGGCGGAGAGUGAGAGGUUUGGGGUGCCUCCUCACGUCGAUUUUGGUGGUAGCCUAGCCGAGGCGGGAGUUACCCAUGUCGAUGAUGCAAGACAGAGGACUCCGAUGAGCGGUGGCUCGUACCUUAAGCGUGAGGUACGUUUGGGUGACAAGGGACAACAAAACAUCAACGGCGUGGGCGGGUUGGGCGGGCUCGAUGACGGAAUGCAUCUUUGCCUUGAGUUAUGCCUCCCGCACACACGUACGCCGCCAUUGCUUCCUUUCCUCAGUCAUGGCCUUUGCGCACACCUCUUGUAUGUCUUCUCGAAUGGCUCAUGUGUGUGCCGCCCCCUCAGCCGAGGUAAGGGGAGAUGGGAGACCGACGCCGAGAGGGGGAUAGGGGCUCCGCCGAGGCGCCGGCCAAUAGCGAGGCCAGGGAGGUGGCGUCGACAAGUGUGAGAGGAACAAUCGGAAAGCCGAGAAAAGGAUAAGACCGAGGAUAAAUGGCCCACCAUAAUAGUUGGUAGAAAGAGGAAAUACAAUGCAAAACGCACACAAGUACCGUGCCACCCUCCCCCGCGUUUGAACAUAAUGAAAAGUAAAGUAUUAUUACAGUAAAACUUGUGCGUGUUUGACAAUUUUAUAGAAAAAAAUCAAUGUCUAUAGUACCAAAAUUGUAUCAUUAGAUUAAUCAUGAAAAGUAUUUUCAUAUUUUAUUUAUUUGAUAUUGUGGAUUUGAUAUUUAAUUCUACAAUACGGGUCUAUCAUGAAAUUGUUUGACUUUUAUGAAAUUUAAUACACUUUGUAUUUUGAAGUGAAAGGCGUAGUUAUUACGUGUUUGUAACACUCAGUUCCCAGUAAGAUAUGCGCAAGUCAACAGAAAAUUCAUGUACGUGUCCAUAAAGUAAUUUGAGUUACGACGGUCAGAGUUCAAUAAAAUCUCUAUCUCUACCUAAUAUGGGAAGGAUUUUCUUCCUCCAUCCAUUGCCCUCGCAAGCCUCACGGGCCACGCCACUUCUGCACGCCCAUGCAAGCUCUCUCCUUCAUGUUCCGGUUCACUCCGACGCCGGCUCUCCUCUAUUGGAUCCCACACCAAUUGUAACGCGUUUUUUUGGUUCGUUGUUGCAAGUUCGUCGACAUCGGGGUGGGAGUUCUGGUGCAUGACGGUCGUUGCUGAGAUAUAGUCUGGAUGCUGUCAUGCCACAAUGAAGUUCUAGUUGGCGUUUUACCGGAUUGUAGUCAGAGCCGAGGACGACACGGUCAUGUCCAAUGUAAACCAAUAAACAUCUAAAUUUAGCAUUGUUCACCAGAUCAAUUGACUUGGGAUCAUAUCCCAUACUCCAAACUAGAGUUUCAAAUAUGAUACCUUAGAGCAUCUCUAGCAGACCCCGCAUCCCGCCAGCCCGCAAAACGCGUUUGCAGUUCGCGGAAAACGGCCUUUGCGAGCCGGCACGGACGGCCGCAGAUGUAGACCCCCCAAACGGACCCGUAUAAAAGUAUAUUCGCGGAAUAUGCUUUUUUACGAAUCGGCUUUGUGGGGUCUGCUCUUGCGCCGCUGCAUCCCGCAUCCCACCGGCCCGCAAAUAUCAAAUCCAACAUAAUACAACAAACAGAAGCAAACUAAAUAAUUAUUCAAUACCAACAUAAUACAACAAUCAUCCACAUUACAAAUAAUUAUUCAAAUCACCGAAGCAAACUUAAAUAAUGCAAUACAAACUUGUCAUGAAUACAAAUACAAAUGAAUACAAAAAUGAGUUACUGUCCAGCCCUUUGCCAAUGGUGUUCAAUGAGAUCCUCCUAAAGUUGAAAGUGUGUGUUUGCAUUUUCAAUCUCCUUGUAUGUUUGAAGAAAAGCUCUAAUGCGGUUAGGGUCUCUAUCUGGUUUGACACGGCUACCCACAUUGUCGUAGAAGAAUUCCAAGUUCAUUCCUCUCAUCUUCAAGAAUCAUAGCAUGUCAUGAUAUUUUUCAAGGUUCUCUUAUCCCAAAAACGAGCAGAACCACGAACAAUGGCAAACCUAGAUUGCAAAACCCCGAAUGCUCUUUCAAUGUCUUUUCGGGCUGCCUCUUGCACCCUUGCAAAUUCACAAUGUUUUCUAGUUUUGGGAUCUUUGAUGCUCUUGACAAAGGUGCACGAAGGAGUGUAUAUACCAUCUGCAAGAUAGUACCCUUUUGUGUAUUCAUGCCCAUUAAUAAUGUAGUUGCAAGCAAGAGCAUCACCACUAGCAAGCCUAGCAAACAAAUGAGACCGUUGCAACACAUUGAUUGAAGGAAAUAUGCCCUAGAGGCAAUAAUAAAGUUGUUAUUUAUAUUUCCUUAUAUCAUGAUAAAUGUUUAUUAUUCAUGCUAGAAUUGUGUUAACCGGAAACUUAGUGCAUGUGUGAAUACAUAGACAAACAGAGUGUCACUAGUAUGCCUCUACUUGACUAGCUCGUUAAUCAAAGAUGGUUAAGUUUCCUAGCCAUAGACAUGAGUUGUCAUUUGAUGAACGGGAUCACAUCAUUAGAGAAUGAUGUGAUUGACAAGACCCAUCCGUUAGCUUAGCACUAUGAUCAUUUAAUUUGUUGCUAUUGCUUUCUUCAUCACUUAUACAUGUUCCUAUGACUAUGAGAUUAUGCAACUCCCGAAUACCGGAGGAACACUUAGUGUGCUAUCAAACGUCACAAUGUAACUGGGUGAUUAUAAAGAUGCUCUACAGGUGUCUCUGAUGGUGUUUGUUGAGUUGGCAUACAUCGAGAUUAGGAUUUGUCACUCCUAUUGUCGGAGAGGUAUCUCUGGGCCCUCUCGGCAAUGCUCAUCACUAUAAGCCUUGCAAACAAUGUAACUAAUGAGUUAGUUACGGGAUGAUGCAUUACGGAACGAGUAAAGAGACUUGCCGGUAACGAGAUUGAACUAGGUAUAAUGAUACCGACGAUCGAAUCUCGGGCAAGUAACAUACCGAUGACAAAGGGAACAACGUAUGUUGUUAUGCGGUUUGACCGAUAAAGAUCUUCGUAGAAUAUGUGGGAGCCAAUAUGAGCAUCUAGGUUCCGCUAUUGGUUAUUGACCGGAUAUGAGUCUCGUUCAUGUCUACAUAGUUCUCGAACCCGUAGGGUCCGCACGCUUAACGUUCGAUGAUGAUCGGUAUUAUGAGUUUAUGUGUUUUGAUGUACCGAAGGUAGUUCGGAGUCCCGGAUGAGAUCACAGACAUGAUGAGGAGUCUCGAAAUGGUCGAGACAUAAAGAUUGAUAUAUUGGACCAUGUUGUUCGGACACCGGAAGUGUUCCGGAGAGUUUCGGAUAAAACCGGAGUUCCGGGUUACCGGAACCUCCCCCGCGAAGUUAUGGGCCUUAGUGGGCCUUAGUGGAGAGAGAGGGCUGCGGCCAGGAGGUGGUGCGCGCCCUCCCCCCCAAGGGGGGUCCGAAUAGGACAAGGGAAGGGGGCACGACCCCUCUUUCCCUCUCCCUCUCCCUCUCCUUCCUUCUCCUCCUAGUUGGACUAGGAAAGUGGGAAACCUACUCCUACUAGGAGUAGGAUUCCUCCCCCCUUGGCGUGCCCCUUGUGGUCGGUCGGCCUCCUCCUCCCCUCCUUUAUAUAUGGGGGGGGGGCACCCCAUAGACACACAAGUUGAUCUUUAGCCGUGUGCGGUGGCCCCCUCCACAGUUUUUCACCUCGGUCAUAUUGUCGUAGUGCUUAGGCGAAGCCCUGCAUCGAUAACUUCAUCAUCACCGUCACCACGCCGUCGUGCUGACGAAACUCUCCCUCGGCCUCAGCUGGAUCUAGAGUUCGAGGGACGUCAUUGAGCUGAAUGUGUGCAUAUCGCGGAGGUGCCGUGCAUACGGUACUUGAUUGGUUGGAUCGCGAAGACGUUCGACUACAUCAACCGCGUUACUAAACGCUUCUGCUUUAGGUCUACAAGGAUACGUGGACACACUCUCCCUGCUCGUUGCUAUGCUUCUCCUAGAUAGAUCUUGCGUGAUCGUAGGCAAUUUUUUUGAAAUACUACGUUCCCCAACAUUGAUAUCAUUGAGAGUGCCCGGCAUACCAAAGAAGCAAUGCCAAAUCCAUAAAUCCUCGGAUGCUACGGCCUCUAGCACAAUUGUUGCAUCACGAGACUUGCCACAAUACAUUCCUUGCCAUGCCUUUGGGCAAUUUUUUCAAGUCCAAUGCAUACAAUCAAUGCUACCUAGCAUGCCAGGUCAACCUCUCCUCUCAUUAGAUGCCAUCAAUUUCUUUGUGUCAUCCUCGUUGGGUGCCCGAAGAUACUCAGGACCAAAGACACGGAUGACCACUUUUGCAAAUCUACGCACUGACUCAAUUGUAGUAUCUUCACCAAUGCGAAGGUACUCAUCGGCAUAGUCAGCCGGAACGCCAUAUGCAAUCACCCGCAUAGCUGAGGAGAUUUUUUGAUAUGCACUAAAUCCCUUCAACCCCGCAACAUUUGUUCUUUGAGUAAAAUACCGGCAAUUUGCCUCGCAAGCUUGAACAAUUUUCACAAAGAGGGAUCGGCGCAUUCGGUACCUUCUCCGGAAGAGGUGCGGUGGAUAUGUUGGCUCCUCCGCGAAGUAGUCUUGCAUCAACAUCUCAUUCCCAAGAUGGCGAUUCCGAGGAAUGCAAAGACGCCCGACGGUCGAUCCUCGCCGCCUCUUCCAGUUCUCGUCUUCGUGCUCCUUCAUGGCAAGUGCCAUCACUAAUGUCUGCUGCCGAAAGGUCGCAAGCAUGGUCCCAACAUCCGAGUCGUCCGAAUCGGAGAGCAAGAACUUCUCGCACGGGCUCAAUUCCAUCUACAUGGAUAAGAAUCGCACGACGCGUCAAUCAACUAUGCAUACCGCUCGCAAAUAUCACAAAACAAACACUAAUCGGUGGCUCGUGUGGCGGGUGAUCCCGGGCGGCGACGAGGGGCGGGCUCGACGGCGGCGACGACGACGAGGGGCGGCUCUUCUCGCCGGAUCCGGGGGGGUCGGUGCAGCGUAUCGGCGCUGGAGGGUGGGGGACGGCCCCGCGGCGCGAUAUAGCCCGCAGAUUUGGGCGGAAUCGCUGGCGGCAGACGGGCGGAAGAAAAGGCGGGCGGCGGCGGAAGGAGAUGGGGAAAGGCGCGCGGGCUGAAAUGUCCCUCCCGCCAACCGCUUCUCUGGGAUGCGGGGCACCGCAGGGGCGAGGGGGAAACCCGCGUAUUCGCGGGUUGGUGCCGAGAUUUUGCCGCGCCCCUUAAAAAAUUUUGCGGGCCGACCGCGUUUGCGGGGUCUGUUCGGGCGGGAUUUUUCGUGCCGACCCGCAUUUUGGCGAUUAUUUUGCGGGUCGGGCCUUUUUACGGGGUCUGUUAGAGUUGCUCUUAGUCGAUCCAUCAUUCUUGUCAUCGCCAAUGCUUGUUCUGUGACUCAGUUCUUUGGUUAACCAAACCUGAUUAUUGGUAGUUAAUGUUUGCUUGAAAAUGAAACACGGCAGUUAUGUAAUAAGUACAUAGAAAUAGAAGUGCGGGACAUGAAUUGACUUGCACAUCUUAGAUCAAGCAUAAUAGUAGGCUUAUGGCGGACGCGGAUUAACUGAGCUCGAGCUCAUAUGAGCUCGGGUGAGCAAUAAAAUCUGAAAAAAUUGAAAACAAAUUCUAACAAUUCUAAAAAAAUGCGGUAAACUUUGACAAAUGUUUUCAUUUCUUGCAAAGUUUCAUCAUAGAAUGACAUUCGAGGAAGUCGUGAGAAAAAAAAACAGAAUCAAUUCUAUCAUGACUUCCACGAGUGUCAUUUCAAGAUGAAACUUUGCAAGCAUUGUAAAUAUUUGUCAAAGUUUGUCACAAAGAAAAUUCAGUUUUUUUAUUUACUGUUCACAUGAGCUCAUACUAGGAAGGACACUUUCAGCUUAUGGCCUCUUACAGUAAAUACGAAGAAGGAAAAAGAGAAGGUGAAAAAAUGCAAGCUUUAUAGCGAUCUUAUUAUAUGAAUGACUGUAAAUGAUAGCUUCACAGGGUAUGACCACAUACAAAAAUAGUACUCCCUCCGUUUACUUUUGUAAGUCGUUUCAGACAACUCAAAAUGGGCUGUUUUACACAUUGUCUGAAAUAUCUUCAAGGUCUUAUAAAAAUGAACAGAGAGAGUACUAGUAUCAUAUAGCCAACAAGUGACUAUACUCAUCGCCAAAAAAAAAAAAAGAACAAGUGACUAUACUAUUAGUCAUGCUCCUCACCCAAAAAAAAAC